GACAAAGAAGGAAAUGCAAUUUAUUGGUAAAAGCACAUUUAAUGUUAUCAAAUUCAAUGGUGUAAUGUGUUAUAUAUGGUUGGGAUCUGGGAUCUGUGGAUAUCUCUGGAAACUGGGAAAUCAUUGCAGCAUAGAGUUUUUGAGACCUGGAGAAAUUGGGUGUCUAUUACUGUUUUUGUCUUUNNNNNNNNNNNNNNNNNNNNNNNNNNNNNNNNNNNNNNNNNNNNNNNNNNUGUUUUUUUUUUUUUUUAAGACCUGGUGAAAUUGGGUGUUCAUCUCUGUCAUUUUUUAACUUGUGAUGGUUUCAUUUUUUCUAUUGGUACAGUUGCAGGAAGCUGUGAGUAGAGGUCCAUACCUCACUGGCAAGCUUCGGGAAGCACAGCCUGCAAUAAUGACAGCCGACAGAUUCUAAUUUGCUUGAAGAGGAGGAUACUUAACCUGACAAAGUUGUGUACUUAUUUUCAUACAGAACUAAAAUUAUAUACCUUUGUUUAAAGUUAUUUGGAUUGAUUUUAGAAAAUCCGAAGUCUCCCAAGAUUCUCAAAAACUAAACAGAAAUUUCUCCAAUUUAGUUGUCUUGUUUGCUAGUUUAUGAGAUGAAAGGAUGAUUUGAGAAGGCAAAUUUUGAUCAGACUUGUCAAUUUGAUCCUAUUUCUUUAGGCAGGUGAUAUGCUUUAUCGCGUUCAGAGCAUUAAUUCUUUUAUUUAUUUAUUAUAAAUAUCGCUCGAUAUGUUUCACAAUUUGUAGAUUUCAACAAGGCUGUGCUCCCUGCUGCUCCAGUUCUAUAAAAGAGGUAACAACUUUUUUUUCAACUCUGUUUUUGCACGACUUUAUUAGUGUUUUUCAAUAGGAUAAUUUAUAAUUUAGUUUUUGUAGUUCAAUAAAACUACACGUUAGUACUGUGAUAUUAGAUCUUAUUGUUCUGUCAUUGCUAAAAUUAGGGUUUUCAAUGCCCAAUCACAUUCCUACGCCUGGCCACAUAUAGGCCUAGAGCUAAGUUUGGAUAUCACUAGACUCAUGCAAGUCAAUUUAAUUAAAAAAUAUGUAUAGAAUGUAAAAGAAUUCCUUUGUUCUCAUUUAAAAAUUUAAAAGUAAAUCUACAUUUAUGCGCCAAAAACGUAUCGACGACAAAUUGGGCAUGUCAAGUUCUUCUCCAACCAAUCAUCAAUACAAUCUGAAUGAAACAUAUGUUUACACUUGGGAAAUAUUCUGCAACAAUCUCCUUCAACGUAAUCCUCCAAACAAAUUGCACAAUCACCAUAUCUCAAUAUCAUUUCUUCAUCUCCAUUUUCUUCUUCUUCUUCUUCUGCUUCUUUGUAUUCUACAGACGGCAACAAAUUGUCGAUAAACUGCGUUCGUGCUAUUUUAUCCUUUCUAAACCUUUGAAUCUCGUCCAGUAUCUCUUCAUUCCAAUACUCCAAACUAUAGUUAUACAUAAACCUAUCUCGAUCAUACAUUACUCCGAGUUCAAGAUCAUCAAACUCAUCGUGCAAACACAGAGGUUUAAUGAUGUAGUUAAAUGUCAUGUAAACAAUGAGGAAGAUGGUUGACAGGGCAAUCAUGCACAGUAAGACUGUGCAAAUCAAGACGGUGGCUAUAAAACCCAUUAGAGCAAUUAAAUCGGAAUGCGAAGUGUCGCUUUUGGGGAAGAAUUGCUCAAACAUUGAAUGAAUCUCCAUGUAAGAAUUGAAUUUUUUCUUUUUGGCCAAUAAAUUUUAUUGCCAAAAUUAAAUGAAGCUCUGUAUAGGAAUAUUCAAAUCAGAAAGGAUUGAGUAUUCAUUUGCUAUCUGAUUCACAAUUUAUAUUAUUCAUCAUAAAGUCGUUGGCUUGAUAGCUUAUCAGUUUGAACAAAGUUAGUUCUUAAACUAACUAAGAAAUUAAAGCAAAUAUUAAAAGAUUGUAUUAGUGAAAUUGUUAUUGUAACUAUACUGUAAUUAGCUAUCAGGACAAUGUUAUAAGGUUGUCGAGAUUGAUUUGUUAGAUUUUGUUACCGUUAUAUUUAUAAAAAAAUAAAUAUUUGUAUACCUGAAAUUGUUACAGCCUGAAAGAAUACAGGAAGAAAAAUUUCAGUUAAGCGUUCAUUAAUAUGUAUACAUGAAAAUUGUUACUAUUUUUAAAAAUAGAUUAUAGGCGUUUGGUAAAAUUCUUAUCUGAUUUAUGUUGUUUAGGACUAAAAUGAUCUAUAAUCUAUGAUUUAUAUAAAAGUGAAAGAGGAAUAAUUGGAUUGGCAAAAAUAAUCCUAGUUUUUAUAUUAUUUAUAAUUUUAUAUUUAUUAUUUAAAUAAAUUUAUUUUUAAAAUUAUAUAAAUAAAUGUGUAGCAUUGUUGGGAGAUUAUAAAUUCAAUUUUUAAGUAUUGCCAUGUGAAAUUUUUUCUUUUAACGUUAAUUUUUUUUAAAAGAGAAUCAAUGUAGACAUUAAUUAUGAUUGUUAAAAUAGUACAUAAUUAAAGCGGGUUCAAAUGGUGAGUCAGAGUAAUCGGUUUUCGGUUUAAAUUAAAAAAUUAAUUUAAUUAAAUUAAUUUAAAAAUUACAGUUAGACUUUUUAUUUACUUCAAUUUAAUUUUUAAUUUAAAAAAUUUUAAUUCAAUUUAAUUUAAUUUUAAUAAAAAAAAUCAAAAUAAUUGAAUCAAAUAUAUUAUUUUUUAAAAUAUAAAAAAAUUAAAUUAUAAUUAAAGUUAAAAUAUUUCAAUUAAAUUUUAAAAUACGAAAAAAAUUUAAAAUUAAUUUACGUGAACAAAUUGUAUUUAAAAAAUUGAUAGUUGAAGAGAAGUUUUUAUAUAAAAAUAAAAAAAAAAUUAUUAUUUAAUUUUUAUUAUAUGAAAAAACUCAUUAGUUAAUUUUUCAAUCUCGAAAAAUAUAUUAAAAUAUUACUAAUAUUUUAAAAAGUCUAUUAAUUAAUUAUUCUAUUAAUUUUUAUCGUCAAGUAUUAUAAAAAAAAGUUUAAAAUGUUUGUAAUACAAAGGAUUAAUCAGUAAACUUUAAUUUUAGAAACCUAAGUGACCAACUAAUAAAUUUCUCAAAACUAUAGAGACUAAACAGUAAAAUAUUUAACGACUAAAAUUAACAAAAUAACUAACUAGUAGAUUUUUUAAAAUAUCAGAAACGUUUUAAUAAAUUUUUUAAAAUAUAGAGAUCAACUAAUAAAUUUCUCUAUAGCAUAGAAUAUAGCAUAGAAUCGAUUAAUGGAUUUUUAAAUAAUAUAGAAACUAAAUAAUAAAUUUUUAAAAGAAAUUAUAUUAUUUAAAAAAUAAAGAGAUUUUAAUAUAUAUAAAUAUUGCAAGAUUAAAAUUUUUCAAUAUCGAUAAAUGGAGCACACAUCUAUACAAUUUGAAUGAAAUAGGUAUUUGCAUAAUUAUACAUAAAUCUCCUUGAUUCGAUAUAAUCUUUUAAACAUACAGUACAAUUUUCGUAUUCCGAUUUUAUUUCUCAGCUCCAUAUCUUAUAAACGGUAAUAACUAAUUGAUGAUUGUUGGUAAUUUGGGUUUCAUAGUGUUUGAAAACUAUUAUUGCUACAAUAACAAUAGAUAAUAAGAUUAUGUAGAUGAAGAUGAUUAUCAGGAGAGCAGCAAUAGUGGCAAAACUAUGGUGUGAGAGAGUCAUCUUCUUCAUGAAUGAAUAAUUAAUGAUGGCUUGAAAUGCAAUUCAUGGUUUGUAACUCAGCUAUUUAAAUUACUAUAAUCACAAAUUAGGGAGUUAAAUUUAAUUAGUUCCAAACUAAUAAACAAAUUUUAGCAAAUCUUAUUGUUAUGUAUAUGUGAAACAGCAAGACUUCAUAACUGAAAAAUUAAAAAAAAAAUGUUAUUAUAGUUAAUUGGAAAAAUUACUUUUUAGUCUCUGAAAUUUAACGUAAUUAACACUUCUGUCCCUCUAUUUUGAUAUUUAUCAUGAAGAACCGCUCUCAACAUACUAUCUCCAAUAUUUACAUAAAUCAAAUUGUUUUUUUAAUUACGGAAUUGUUGUUAGACUCAAGAUUUUCAUAUAUAUAUAUAUAUAUAUAUAUAUAUAUAUAUAUAUAUAUNNNNNNNNNNNNNNNNNNNNNNNNNNNNNNNNNNNNNNNNNNNNNNNNNNNNNNNNNNNNNNNNNNNNNNNNNNNNNNNNNNNNNNNNNNNNNNNNNNNNNNNNNNNNNNNNNNNNNNNNNNNNNNNNNNNNNNNNNNNNNNNNNNNNNNNNNNNNNNNNNNNNNNNNNNNNNNNNNNNNNNNNNNNNNNNNNNNNNNNNNNNNNNNNNNNNNNNNNNNNNNNNNNNNNNNNNNNNNNNNNNNNNNNNNNNNNNNNNNNNNNNNNNNNNNNNNNNNNNNNNNNNNNNNNNNNNNNNNNNNNNNNNNNNNNNNNNNNNNNNNNNNNNNNNNNNNNNNNNNNNNNNNNNNNNNNNNNNNNNNNNNNNNNNNNNNNNNNNNNNNNNNNNNNNNNNNNNNNNNNNNNNNNNNNNNNNNNNNNNNNNNNNNNNNNNNNNNNNNNNNNNNNNNNNNNNNNNNNNNNNNNNNNNNNNNNNNNNNNNNNNNNNNNNNNNNNNNNNNNNNNNNNNNNNNNNNNNNNNNNNNNNNNNNNNNNNNNNNNNNNNNNNNNNNNNNNNNNNNNNNNNNNNNNNNNNNNNNNNNNNNNNNNNNNNNNNNNNNNNNNNNNNNNNNNNNNNNNNNNNNNNNNNNNNNNNNNNNNNNNNNNNNNNNNNNNNNNNNNNNNNNNNNNNNNNNNNNNNNNNNNNNNNNNNNNNNNNNNNNNNNNNNNNNNNNNNNNNNNNNNNNNNNNNNNNNNNNNNNNNNNNNNNNNNNNNNNNNNNNNNNNNNNNNNNNNNNNNNNNNNNNNNNNNNNNNNNNNNNNNNNNNNNNNNNNNNNNNNNNNNNNNNNNNNNNNNNNNNNNNNNNNNNNNNNNNNNNNNNNNNNNNNNNNNNNNNNNNNNNNNNNNNNNNNNNNNNNUGUUGUCUUUUUUUUUUUCUUAUUUUCUUUUAUUUUCUCAUUAAUUUUCUUAAUUUUUCUUAUUUUCCCUUUUUUAUCUUAUUUUCUUUUAGUUUAUCUCAUUUUCUUUCAUCUUUUAACUUGUCUCUGCUGUUUCUAUUUUAUAAGAUAAAAUAAAAUAAUCCCUUUUUGUCCAUGAAAAUAAGUGGUAAGAUAUAUAUUAAUUUAAUUUUAUGUCUUAUUUUAAAAAAUAUUUUUUAUAAAACAUAUUUUUUAACAAAAUAACUUAUUUUUCAUUCUUUAAUUUUAAUUAAAAUAUAAAACAUAUUAAAAAAUUUAUAUAUAGAAAUCUUAAUGAAUAUCUUAAAAAUGUAAAAAAUAACUUUUUUUUUUUCAAAAUAUGAUUUUAUUUUUCGUAAAAAUGGCUUAAUUUUUCUUUUAUUAGAAAAAUAUUUUCGAUUCACAGAAUAUUUUGAGUGUUUUAAAUACCAGAAAAUUUAAAAAAUAUUUUUAUGAAACAAAUAAAGUCUAAAUUGGAAUCCAGUAAAACCUUAUGUGAGGAAAAUUUAUGUUGUAUUAUUAAUUUUAAAAAAUUUACUUUUUAAUUCUUAUAUUAUAAAAAAAUUCAUUAAUUUCGCAUUUACUCUUGAAAAAUAUAUUAAAAAGUUUUUAAUAUUUUAAAAAGUUUACUAAUUAAUUUCUCCAUUAAUUUUAGCCAAAAUAUUAUAAAAAAAAUUUAAAAUAUCUUCUAUAUGAAAACUAGAGACUAAUUAAUAGAUUUUUUUAAAUUACAAAAAUUAAAUAGUAAAAUACUUAAUUGAUAAAAUUAAUAAAGAAACUAAAAAAUAAAUUUUUUAAAAUGUCAAAACAUUUUAAUAUAUUUUUUAAAAUAAAAAAAAUUAAUCAAAUGAGGUUUUUUAUAUUAUAAAAAUUAAAUUUAUACCAUAAGGGAUAAAUAAUUUUUUUAAAAAAUUUUAUAGGAUUGUGCAUUAGAAGUUAAUUAUAACAAAAACUGAAAAUGAAAAGGUGAUCCAAAUGAAUGCUAUCAAACAACAAAACACUCAUGGAGAAUCUUCAAGUUGUGGAUGCAAGAGGCGUCUGUGGGUGUUGGGUUUUCAAAAAGGAGAAAAAAAAUAAAAAUAACAAUUUGGGUUGUGGGUUAUGGGUUUUUGAAGCAGGACACAGACACACCUAUCAUUAUUGUGAUUUGGAUGCAAUGAGUAAUUGCUUUAUAUCAUGGAGGCAAUGCCCACCAUUACGGCAAAGCAAUUUGGGUUGGGGCUAGAAGAAAUAGAUUUUCAAAGGAGGAUAAUGGGAUUUGGAAAUAUUUUUCUUUGUCAUGUGUUUUACAUCAAGGUAUGGGCAUUAGAUUUUAAUAAGAAAAAAACCAUCUUUCUCAAAAAUUAUUUCAUGCAAUUUAAUUAUAAUAAAUUUAUAUAGAAGUCACUGUAACCGAUACUUAUAAUUCAAAUCAAUUUUUCUAGUAUAAAUUUUCUUCACUUUCUAUCGCUCUUACACUCAUUCAAGCUAUUUCGGAUCUUCACUAUAAUUAAUGAGUUUCAUUAUUCGUAGUUAAAAAAAAAUAAAAUAUUUGAACAUUUUAUUUUUAUGAAAUUUGUAAUUAAAAUUUUAACACAUAAAGAAAAGCUAUUUGUUUAAAAUAAUAAGAUGAAAAAAAAAUAAAGAGAUUUUAUUAUAAAUAAACAUUUCAAUCGGUCACUUAUUAAGAAUAUGUUGACGACAAAUGGGACAUGUCAAAUUCUUCCCCAACCAUACAUCUAUACAAUUUGAAUGAAAUAUGUGUUUGCACGUAGGAAAUAUUCUACAUAAAUCCCCUUCCCUGUAAUCUUCCAAACAUAUACCACAAUCUCCAUACUUCGAUUUCAUACUUUCAUUUUCAUAUUUUAACGAUGGUGAUAACCAAUCAAUUAGCUGAAUUCUUGCUAAUUUAUUUAUCAUGAUAGUUGAAGAUCUAUCAACCAUUUGUUCAUUCGAAUGUAAAUGACGAUUGUAUAUAAAUUGAGGUCGAUCAAAUGUUACUCCAAGUCGUAGAUCAUUACUGAAAUCAUCAUCUAGAAAGAAAGGUUGAAUGAAAUAGUUAAAUAAUAUGUAAAGAAUAAAAAAUGUAAUUGCUACAAUAAUAAUGGGUAGUAAGGUUAUGCAGACUAAGAUGAUAAUCAUGAGAGCAAUUGCAGCGGAAAAGAUAUGGUGUAAGACAGGAUUUGAAGGUAGGAAUUCAGAAAUUGAAGGAAUCAUCUUUUUGAAUGAAUGAUGGGUUGAAUAUGGGAUCAUGCUUAGCUUCUAACUUAGCUAUUUAAAUUGCUAAUCCCAAACUAAGUAGUUAUCUAGGAAGUUUAAUUUAUGUUUCAUCAACUAAAAGAAAUUUAGUUUGAAACUAAUAAUAAAAAAAACUAGAAUGAUGAAAACAAUUAACUACGGUGGAACUAGGGCAAAGCAAAGAUGUUUAAAAAAAAUUCAAAUUAUUAUAAUUUUAUUUGGAUAUUUACUAAAUUUGUGAAAUAGUUAUGAUUAUGGUACUUGUUAAAACGAAAGUUUUAGCAAAAUCAUAUUGUUAUAUAUGAAAAAUUAAGAGUUCAUAACUGAAAAACUAAAAAAUAAGAAAAAAAAAAUAAUUCUAGUUAAUUACCAAUUAUAAAUAUACUGAUAUUACUUACUAACUCUAAUAUUUUCCACAAAUAAAUACAGUCAUAUAUUAAUUAAUUUUGAUAUAUAAAAAAUUUUGAUAGAGAUAAUAGUAAAAAAAACAUAUUCAACUAUUUGUGUUUUAAUAGAUAUAAUCUAAAUUAUAAAAAUUAAUUAUUAUAUUCUACACUAAUAUACUUCAAAUUAAAAUUUUAAUUUAUUUGAUUUUAAAUUUUAAUUCGAUUUACUUAUGAUUUUGGAUGAUAUAUUUCAAAGAGUCCAUAACUCAUUUUUCUAUUUUUUUUGCAUUUACAAGUACAAUUUUUUUUAAUUACGAUAUUACCGCUAGUAAAUAAAAAAUUAUAAUUUUUAUUAUCUAAAAAAAAUUAAUUAUAUGUAUUACAUCCACUUUAAUAUUGUUAAAAGUUAACGAUGAGUCGAAAAUGACUAAAUUUAAUUUAAUUUAUGACUAUAAUUUAUAUCUUGCAUAAUGAAUUUAGUCAUUUUGAAUUUAUUAAAUUAAUGAUUGCAACCUAAUUAGAGUAGAUAUAAUAAAUAUAAUUAAUUUUUCAAGUAGAGAGAAUUGUGCUUCUUAAUUUACUAGAGCUAAUGUUAUCACACUACUUAUAAUCUAUAAUUAUACAAAAAGUUGCAAUUGUGAAGAAAAAAAAAAGAGUUAUCGGUUCUUAAAAAUAUAUAAUCCAAAAUUAUAAAUAAAACAAAUUAAAAUAAAAAAUUAAACUAAAUUAAAAAUCUGAUUUGGGAUAUAUUUAUUAAAAAAAAUUAUGAUAUAAUUAUUGAAAUUUAUAUAGCGUUUGUCAAACUUAACGGAGAGUAUAAAUAAAUUUAAAUGUCUAAUUUAUGUUAUAUUAGUUAACUUUUAUAAUUUAGGGUAUAUUUAUUAAAAUGAAUACUUUAAGUGUUUUUUUUUAUAUAAUUUACAGAACACUUCUAAGAUUUGACAAAACCUACAAAAUAGUUUCUUACUAAACUUUUAGGAAUAAAUUAGACAUUUAAAAUUAAUGUAAUCAAGUGCUCAUUGUGUUAAUUGAAGGGUGAAGCUACCAUUACUUUAAAGAGAAAUGACUAAUUUACCCUUUAACUGAAAAAAAGACUUUAAAUUAAAUCUUUCUUAAUCGAGGUAAAAUGUCAAAAACCGAAUAAAUUUAAGAAGCGAAAACCUCUAUGUUCUUUUGAUUUCUUUUUCAUGUCCCAACUAAGCUAUUCUCUCCCUAGACCUGUGGUGAGCACCAUGCACCGAGAGCGAUCUGAAGGUCUGGCACCAGCUCCCAGCGCCUUUAUACCAGAAUGAUCCCAAUCAAGCGCACAAAUAAGUAUCUCCACUUUUCUACCAAUAGUUUCUGACCUCUCUCCCUCUGAUGAUAACUCAAUCUUUCCUGUCAUGAUCCCCCAACUGCAUCACGCCCAUGCCCCUUUGUCUUCUCCAUCGAGAUUUGUCCCUGUGUGGUAGCUAUAAUUCCCUUGAUUUCAUCAUGGCUUAUUCUCCUAAUGCUACUUUAUUAUUCUCAGAUGAUGUAGCUUGGGUGGGGAGGGGAGGAAAGGCUGGAACCAUAUUGAAUACUUUUUCUAAGGGAGAAUUUGUAAUGUCGGCAACGAAUAAUGUUCUGACGAGUGGGUUGAUGGUUGUGUCUAUGGUCAAUUUACCUCCUAUAAUUUUUUUCAAUUCAACUUUUUUACUCGUAUUAAAAAAAUAAUUUUUAUUAACUUUUCAAUUAUACUUAAAGAUAUUAAAUUUUAUUAAAUACUAAAAUAUAUUUUAAAUAUUUAUUUAAAAAAUAAUAAUUAAUUAGAAAUUGUUUUGAAAAUAAAAUUUAAAAAAUCAAAUAAAAUAAUAACAAUCAAUUUAUAUGUUAUGUAAUGUAAAAAAAGAAAGUAGAUAAUAAUUGUAAAAUAAUAAAAAAAUUAAAUAAAAAUUAUUAGAUAAAAACAAUAAUAUUUAAUAUUUAUAAUUAAAAUAGAAAAUAAAGAACCGCAAGAACAUCUCCCAUUAAAUCCAUAAUUUUCUUGAGCACAUGCAGGAGAGGGCCCUAAACACUCAUCAAACUAAGGAAGAUUGGAGCCCAUGUAGCAAAUGCAUGUUGUAAUCCAAAAUGAAUGCCAUCAAACAAAACAGCUAAAGAACAUGGUUGAAAUUCCAAUCUAAUUCGGGUUACGGGACAAAACCUUUCGAGAAGAGUAAUGAUUUGAUCCAUAAAAAAAUAUAUUCAUAAUUUUAUUAAGGUAAUUUUUCUAUUCACUAAAAUUUGUGAAAUAGUUAUGAUUAUGGUACUGGUUAGAACAAAAGUUUUAGCUAUGAAACAUAAUAAGUUCGUAACUGAAAAUUAAUGAAAUAUUGAGUCGUAGAUUUUCUAAUAUCUCAUAAAUAUUUUAAUAUAUUUAUUUUAAAACUAAUAAACUAACUAAUAAAUUCUUAUAUUACAUGGAUUAAUAAUAAAUUAUCUAUUAAUUUAUGUGUGAAUAAUUUGUUUAAAAAAAUUAAGAAAUAACUUAUUAUUUAUUUAUUUUUAUUAUAAAAGAAAAGAACAAUGUAAAUACUAUUUAUGUAUUAAAGUCUAGUAUAAUUUAAAUAAAAAUUUUAAAAUCUAGAAAAUUAUUUUGUAUUUUGAAAAGAUUAAGUUACUUUUAUUAAAUAUAAUUUAAAAUUUCAUUUAUUUAAGAAAUUUUUUAAUCAAUUUUCAUGAGUAAUCUAAAUAUUAAAAAAUAUAAAAUUAUAAAAAAUAUUUUUCUGACAAGCAUUAGAUGCUUUUGUAUUUUAUAUUGUUUUAUUAAUGAGUUGGAAAUAUAAUUUUGCAGAAACCCAAUUUUUUUUGUUUUUUUUUAAAACCAACCACUAAAAUUAUAUGGAAAAUUUAUAAUUUAGUCCUUGAAUAUUACUAUUAUUAAGAAGUUAGUCCCUGUAUUUUUAGAAAUCUAUUAAAACAUCUUUAUGUUUUUUUUCCGUUAAUGAAAUAGUCCUUCCACCCUCUUUUCCGUUAAAAUUAGAUUAAGGAGGAGAGAGAAAAUUUUUAAAAUCCAAUUUUACCCUCAAAUAAAAUCCUUUAUUUAGUCCUUGGAUAUUGUUAUUAUUAAUAAGUUAGCCCUUACAUUUUUAAAAAUCUAUUAAAACAUUUUUAUCUUUUUCAAUAUAUAUUAAAACGUUCUUAUCAUUUCUUUUCGUCAAUGGAAUCUUUUCUCAUAUCUAUUAAAACGUCCUUAUCGUUUCUUUCCAUCAACGAAAUAGUCCUUCAUCAUCGUUUCUUUCCGUCNNNNNNNNNNNNNNNNNNNNNNNNNNNNNNNNNNNNNNNNNNNNNNNNNNNNNNNNNNNNNNNNNNNNNNNNNNNNNNNNNNNNNNNNNNNNNNNNNNNNNNNNNNNNNNNNNNNNNNNNNNNNNNNNNNNNNNNNNNNNNNNNNNNNNNNNNNNNNNNNNNNNNNNNNNNNNNNNNNNNNNNNNNNNNNNNNNNNNNNNNNNNNNNNNNNNNNNNNNNNNNNNNNNNNNNNNNNNNNNNNNNNNNNNNNNNNNNNNNNNNNNNNNNNNNNNNNNNNNNNNNNNNNNNNNNNNNNNNNNNNNNNNNNNNNNNNNNNNNNNNNNNNNNNNNNNNNNNNNNNNNNNNNNNNNNNNNNNNNNNNNNNNNNNNNNNNNNNNNNNNNNNAUCAUAUGGUAAUCUCGUUCGUUUUUUUUUAGUUUUCAUUUUCUAAUUUUUUUUUUCAAUUACAAAGUGAACAUAACAUUUAUUCGAUAACUUUUUUUUUAUUUAUUUAUAAAAAAAAGUGGCCAUUGAAUUUAGAAUUCUAAAUAAAUAACCCAAAAACAUAGUGCUAGAAAAGAAAUACAUACAUUUUAUUAAUAUAUAAACAUUGCAAUUAGUUACAUAAUAAAAAUACUUUGACGACACAUGGGGCAUGUUAAAUUCUUCUCCAACCAUGCAUCUAGACAAUUUGAAUGAAACAUAUGAUUGCACACAGGAAAUAUCCUACAUAAAUCUCCUUCAAUGUAAUCUUCCAAACAUAUAGCACAAUCAUCGUAUUUCAAAUUCAUUUCUUCAGCUCCAUAUCUUGUAGACGGCAACAACCAAUUGAUGAACUGAAUUCUUGCUGAUUUUGUUGAAAAUUCAUUAAGUAUUUGUUCAUGUGAUCCUAAAUCACGAUUAUAUGUAAAUCGAGAUCGAUCAAAUAUUGGUCCGCGAUCAUUACUAAAAUUAUCAUAUAAGAAUAUUGGUUGAAUAUAGUUCAAUAAUAUAUAAAUUAUGAAAAAUAUUAUUGAUACUAUAGCAAUGGAUAAUAAGGCUAUGAAGAUCAAGGUUAUAAUUAUGAGAAAAGCGAGAGUAGAAAAAUUAUGGUGUGAGAAAUUGUUUGAAGAUAAUAACUCAGAAAGCGAAGGAAUCAUCUUCUUAAUUAAUUAACGAACGAUGGGUUGAUUCAUGAUUUGUAACUCACUUAUUUAAAUGAGUAUAAUCACAAAUUACGUGGUUAGAAAGUUGAAAUUAAGUUUCAUCAAUUAAAACAUAUUUAGUUCGAAACUAAUAAAAAAAACUAAAUCUUAGUAAAUUUGUUUAAAUAUAUAACCUUAGUUAUAAAUUAAUGUAAUUUUUAGAUUUAUUCAUAUGGUAUAAAAAAUUUAAAAAAAAUUAAAAAAAACGUAUUGUGAUUAGUUGAAAGAAGAUGUAUAUUAACAAACUUAUUGUUAGACUACAGUAUAAUGAACCAAUUGGUUGAGAAAGAAUUAAGACUUGAAAAACUGAAUUUAUAUUCUUUUGGUAAUGAGUUGGAAUUACAAGUUUGCGGAAAACAAAACUAUUAUUUUAUUAAAAACAAAACAAAAAAUUAUUUAUUUAAUUAAAUAAUAGAAAAAUGUAUGGAGAAAUACUUUAAUUUUCUGCUUAGGUACUUGUUUAUGCAAGUCGGUUAAAUAAUUGAAUUUACUUGUCCACAUUUUAUCAUGCAAGUUUUUAUAAUCUGGUUCAUAUUGAUUUUGAUAUUUUCAAAAAAUUAUAAAUAAUUUUCUUCUUUUUAAUUAUACAUAUAUAAAUACUUAUUUUUAUGUAAUUAUAAGAUAAAGAGAAUUAGUUUAUUUUUUUAAAAAAAAUUAUAAAUGUACUUAAAGAUAAAUCUCUAUGUGUGUUUACAAGAUCGAUUUUUUUUUUUUAUUGGAAAGAGAAGAUGUUUUAAGAAUAUUGUUCAAAGUGUCGAAUUUCAGCUCUGAUGUGUGAAAAUCCAGAGAAUAGGAUUUUAGUGUGUGGGUAAACUUGAUUCUUCGGAUGAUACUCAUUUCCUUUUAUUUUUUUCUUUUUGUUUGCCAAUGACGAUUAACGAUCUAUCUGCUUGCUACAGUGACGUCUAUCUCUGCCAGGUGAGAUUUGUUUUCUCCCAAUGCGCAUGCGAAUAGGGCUGCGAAAGGACGCGACUUGCCCAUUUCUCCCAUGUCUGUUUUUCGGGCUGGCCUCCUAUUGGGCUUAGGCUUGCGGACGACCCGGCCUGUCAUUCAUACUAGAUCCCGGAUUGAAAUCACUGGACAGACCUGUCUAGAGGCGCUCCGAGUUCAAAGUCUGGUAUGCUCUCGUGGGCUCUAAUUUAGCCAAAAAAAAAGUGUGAGACCCGACGGUUAUCAAACUCCAAUCACAAAUGUGUAUAUCCAUAAUUCUAACGUUGAUUAUUUAUUUGUUUGGGAAAAGUAUAAAGCAUUAAUCCAACUUAAAUAUGACCAAUGAAUCAUUUAUAUAUUUAUAUAUUUUUAAUUUUAAUUUUUAUAUACUUUUUCAACACGUUUUGCAUUUUUGUAUAAAUAGCUAUUUUUAUUUAUUUAUUUGAUAUUGUUAAUAAUUUUAAUUAAAUUUUAUAAAUUGAUAUUUUAUAGAUAUUUUACUCUUAUUUUAUAAAUAAUAUAUUAAUUAAAAUUUAAAAAUUAUUUAUUUCAAAAGAAAGGAAAAAAUUACAUAAACAGUAAUAUAGCAGUAAUACAGUUAUAUUACAGUUUAUAUCUGUUAAGUUGUUAACUCAUUUUAAACAGUAAUACAGUUAUAUUACAGUAAUACAGAAGAUUCAAAAUUAUGGUAAUAAUAGCAUUUUUUUUUUGUUAGGACAACCUUUUUGUGCAUAUAAAUAAUUAUUUUUUAUUUUAGAAUAGGAAGAAAAGCCCUAAAAUAAUAAAAAAAAGAGUAUAUAGCCACCUCCCUUUAUCUUCCGCUUUUAAUUUCCACCAUUUACCUUCUCUAUCAACCUAAAUCUCUUGGAGGAAAUGAGGAGUAGGUCAUAGGUGCAACUUCACCAAUGAAGGCUCUUUGAGCAUGGAUUUUCAUCAUAUGAAGAGUUCUUCAUUUGGAAUUUUCUUCUCUUUUAUUAAUUUUAUAUUUUUUUGUUUUAUUUUGAGUUUUCAUUUAUAAAAAGUAUGAGUAAUGGUAAAUUUUUAGAUUUCAGACAUUGAAUUUGUAAUACUCUAUUUUAAUUUUAGUUUUAAAUUAAUUUCUAUUAAUGGAUUUAUACUAUUUUUAAUUUUAAAUUGAAUAUUUGAUUUUGAUUGCUUUAAUUUUUUACUUUGUGUUUGGACAAUUAAAAUAGUAUUUUAAUCAUUAAUUAAUAUAAAAUUCAGGAUUAAAACUUAUAUUCAUAAAUACAAGAAAUUGAUUAAGAGUAUGAAAGAUUUUUAAAAUUAAUUAAAGAAUUUAAUAAAUUUUUAUUAAAUCAAAACAUUGGUUUAAUUAAAAUAUAACCUUAUAUAUUGAAAGAAUUAAAAUAAUUUUAGAAUUAAUUCUUUUAAGUAAUAGAAUACCCAUGAAUUAAUAAAAAUUAGAGAAAAUCCGAAUUAAUUAGAGUGUGAAUCUCAAAUCUCUGAAAUCACAUUUCUAUAUUUGAUUUUUAGUCCUAAAUAAUUGCUAAUUUCAGUUAAUUUUAAGUUAAUUUAUCAUUGUUUAAUUUAAUUUUUAAUUAAUAGUUUAUUUCUCUAGUCCAUAAUUAAUUAAUUUAAUUGUCAUCUUCUUAUUAAUUUUUAAUUAAUUUAAUACAUAUUUUAAUUUAAUUAGUUAAUUUUAGCACGAUCAGUUCAAACAAUUGUUAUAAUUAUAAUCUAGUACUUAAACACUAAUUUCUAUGAACGAUAUUUUAUUACUUGCGCAAUUUGUAUAUUUACGGGCAUUAUAAUAAAUUUUUAUUAAUUAAAAUUUUAUGUUUUUAUGUUAUUACCCUUUUAUAUAUUUUUCUAAAGUAAUGUCCAGAAUUUAAAAUUUAAAUUACAAGUUCUUGAUUGAAGAAAAAAAAAUUGCAUUGUUCCCUCUCAUUCAGUAAAUAUUACAAUUUUUUAAAAAAUAUAUUUUUUUAUGUAAUUACUAAUUCCUAAUUUUUACAUAGAGAUUUAGAGAUUUUAGAUUUUAUAUUAAGAAUUAAAAUACUAAAAGUUAUAUAUUUUUAGCUAAGAGAUUAUUUGUGUAAAUUUAAUUAAUAUUUAAAAUAAAUAAAUAAAUAACAGUUAAUAUGAUAUACACACUGAUUCAAUAUUAAAUUCAUUGUGGACAUAGAUGAGGUCAGUAGAACAUUCUUAAGGUCAUCUCCCUCUUUUAGAACCUUUGAACAUCUUGGACAUCCAUUAACGUAAAGCAUUGUGGACCAUGAACCAUAAUCCCCAACACCAAGAGAUGAAAGCAACGAUAUUUUUGAAACCAGACCAAAUUUGUACCUUUCAGAAGGCAGAAAAAAAUUCUCUUGCAACAUUGAUGAAUCCUGAUAAGAAGGAAUCAAAUUGCUGAAACUCUUCAAAGGUACAAGAAGACAAUCCAACAGUAGGCUUUACAUUGUCAAUGUCGUGGAAAGGAGAAUUGCCAUUUACUGAGCUAAAUUCACCUUGCCAAGGAAUUCCACCAAACCCAUCUUGGGCGCUUCAUUUCAAACUUACAAAUUCUAUGGAUUUACGGAUUAAAAAACUCGAAGCUAAAGCAUACAGGGCUUGGUGUUCUUUCAAUGGCAAAUAUUAGUCCAAAAACCAACUGUUCCUAAUUUUUUAUUUGCAUUGAGAAGGCCUCAUGGCUUGAUGUAGAGUAUGUUGUAUUGGUGAAGGUGUUGAUGGUACAGUUAUUUAUUAGAGUUUGUAGAUGUAAAAAUUUUUGUUAGAUAUGGGGGGAAGAAAAAAAAUUUCAGAUGUUUGACUAGUUAUUUAUUUUUGACUAAUUAUUUAUUUUUGAAUUAAUGGAGAAAUGAAUGGAGAAAGGACCGUGUAUUUAGAUGGACUGAAAAUGGAGGGGUUUUAAAUAUUCGAUUUUAAAAAUAUAGAGACUAUUUUAUUAAUUGUAAUAUAACUCAAGAAUUAAAGUGUAAUUUAUUUAAAAUAAAUAAAUAUCUUUUUUAGAAGAUUUAGUGCGGAAUCAUCUCAAGGAGUCCAUUUGGGUGACAAGUGAAUGUAGAUCUUUAUAUUCUAAGUGAAUGUAGGUCUUUGUAUUCUAAAUCAAGCAGGUCUAUCAAAUCGAACCAUAAAAAAUAAAACAAAUAUUUUAGAUUCUGUUUAUUUAAGAAAAUAAUUUAUAUUUGAAAAAUAUUUUUUUAUUAUUUAAUUUUAAUUUAAAAUUUAGUUUGUUUUAAGAAAAAUAUUUUUUAAAAAAUAUUUUUCAUAUUUAUUAGUGUUUGAAAUACGGGGAGAGAAAAUUUAAUCAAUGAAAAAAUUAUUUUUUAAUAAAAAAUUAUUUUUAAAAAAAUAAUUUAUAAUUUUAAAAAUUUCUCCCUUAUUUUCAUUAAGAAUUUUAUAUAUAAAAUUUUAAUAUAUUUUAUUUUUUAAAUAAAAAUUUAGCAAUAAAAAAUAAGUUAUCUCAUUUCACAUAAAAUAUUUUACUCAAAAAAUAUUUGUAAAAAAAUAUUUUUUAAAUAUAAAUUAUUUUCUAUAAACAAAUAAAUACUAAAAAAUAAAAUUUAUUAAUAAAUUUAUAUAUAAAAAUUUUAUAAGAAUAUCAAAAUAUGAAAAAUAAUUUUCUCUUUUAAAAAAAAUUAUUUUCUAUAAAGUAUUUUUUUUAUUAAAAAUAUAUUUUUCAAUAAUUAAAUUUUUUAAAUACUCCAAACGAUAAAAAAUAUAAAAAUUAUUUUCUUAAAAAAUAUUUUUUUUGCCAAACCAGCGGAGCAGUGAUGUAUGUCUUGCAAUUUAAGCCACUCUUCGUGAAGAAAAAAAAAAUUGAUAGAAGGGCAUUUAAUUUUACAUAAUCAAAAAGAAAAAUAUAAAAAUACUUUGUGAUUUAAUUUUUAAUUAAAAAAUUCUCUUAUUUUCAAAAAUUUAUAAUUUAUUUUAUAUUUUAAUAAUAUUUCGUGAUAUUUAUAUCAACAUUUUUAACUACGUUUAAAAAUUAUUGUUAUUUUACUAACUAUAUCAUAGCAUAUACUAUUUUAUAUAAAUUAAAUUAUAAAUUUAAAAAUAAAAAAUAAAUAAAAUUAUAAGAUUUUUUUUAAAAUACAGGAGUAAACUAUUAACAGAAUCAAAAUAAAUAGCCUUCAUAAAAGCCGAAAACCCCUAGAGAAGCCCAUAGCUUCAAUAGUGACUAGUGCGAGUUUCCAAAAGGGCCGCCAGAUCGAUUCAGCUUCAACUUAGCUAACGUAAGCUGCUAAACUCUAAGAAAGAUUGGGCUGCCCACUCCUUGACAAUUCGUCUGUAUUCCUCUUAUUCUAAAUAGCUACAUACCCUCACUGCUAUUGUUCUCACCAGCAUCAGUCUGUAAUCCUUUGCCUGCAUCAACCAAGAUUGAGGAAGCUGGACUCACUUGAUUACUGAAACUUUCGGCUGGAAGAACAGCUUCCUCACUAAGAUGCUCAAGGGCUUGAGAACCUGGAGGAGCAAGGAAGUCUAUGGCAUUUGGUUCCGAGUUCUACCAUAAUAAGCUUCAUUAAUAUUCAAAAUGAAAUAUUUUGGAGAAAAAAAAAACUAUAUUGUCUUAAAAAUGGAGAAAAGAAAACACAGAGAUAUUGGGAAUGUAUAAAAAUUGCUAUUAGUCAUGUACUAAAAAUACAUUCACGACAGAUGGGGCAUGUUGAAUUAUUCUCCAACCAUGCAUCUAUACAAUUUGAAUGAAAUAUGUGUUUGCACAUUGGAAAAAUUCUACAUAAAUCUCCCUUGAUAUAAUCUUCCAAACAUAUAGCACAAUCUUCAUAUUUCGAUUUCAUUUCUUCACCUCCAUAUUUUAUUGAUGGCAAUAAGCAAUCGAUAAUCUGAAUUGAUUUGUUCUUUUUAGUUGAAGUUUCAUCGAAUGUUUCACGCGAUUGAAAAUUAUGAUUAUAUAUAAAUCGAAAUCGAUUAAAUAUCCAGCCAAAUUCAAGGUCAUUACUAAGAUUAGCAUUUGGAGAUAGAUGUCGAAUAUGAUUUAAUAGCAUAUAAAUAAUGAAAAAUAUUAUUGAUAUUAUAAGAAUGGAUAAGAAGGCUAUGAAGAUUAGAAUAAGGAGUAUGAGAGCUGUUAGAGUGGCAAAAUUAUGAUGUGAGAAAUUGUUUGAAGAUAAGAACUCAGAAAUUGAAGGAGUCAUUUUCUUAAUUAAUUAAUAAUUAAUUAAUUAAUGAUAGGUUGAAUAUGGGAUGAUUCAUGAUUUGUAACUCAGAUAUUUAAAUGAUUAUAAUCACAAAUUUAGUAGUUAGGCAGUUGAAAUUAAGUUACAUCAGUUCUUUAGUUCGAAACUAAUAAAAAAAAACUAGAAAUUAGUUUUUUUUUAAAGAAAUUAGCAAAUCAUAUAUUAUAAAACCUGAAGAGUUAAUAUAACUGAAAAAAAAUUUAAAAAUACUAAUAAUACAGACUUGAAAAUGAUGUAUUUUAGAUGUUUUUUGUUUUAAUUAUUUUAUUAAUGAGUUGGAAUGAUAAUUUUGCAUAAAAACAAAACUUCAUUAUUUUCUUUAAAAAAAAAAAAUAGUUAAAAAAGUAAACAACUGGAAAGCGAAAUAAUUUGAUUUUCUGCGUAGAUACAAACAAAUUCUGUGUUUACAACUUGUUUUUGCUUGUCUGUUAAGUAAUUUAAUUUACUUGUCCCCAUUUUAUCAUGCAAGUUUUUAUAAAUUAUUUAUAUGCAAUGUUACCCUUUCCUAAACUUCUUUUUCUUCUAAAAUUCUUUAUAUGCCAUAAGCUUAUCUUAAUGAUACUCUCUUGUUCAGCUUAGCAUUUUAUGAAAUAGGUGGUUUCAGUUGUUGAUGCUGCUGAGCUUCUCAUUUUGUCUAUGGCCUUUUUUAGGGCCAAGGAUGUUUGCUUUUCUUCUUGUUGCUUUGCAACUCUACUUCAUCUGCCCCUAGCCCCAUCAAGUCUCUGGCUUCUAUGAUUUUGAAAUUUGUAUUCAAUCAUACUGUAGUACAAUCAAAAUAGAAUAAAUUGUGUAUAUGUUUCUGCACGAAUAAUGAAGAAAUUUGUAUAAUUUGCCUAAAACACAUAAUGGUGGAUAAUAUGCCACAGGUAAGCAACAAGAAAUCAUUAAUUGAGAUCAAAUGGUGUACAAUUUCCAGCCUCCUUGGUUACUAACUCAUCAAGCAGUUCAAAUGCAAACAACAGUUUUCUUUCUCUGCAUAUGUAUUCAACUAAAACAGCCCAGGAAUCAGGUUCUGGUUUAAACCCCAUUUCUGCUAAUCCAAACAAUGCUGUAACAGCAUCAUCUACCAUUGCAGCUUUACAAAGGCGAAUCAACAAUUCAUUUGAAGUUGCAUAAUGGGGUACAAAACCUCUACUCAGCAUCAAAUCCAACAGUUCACAAGUCUUCUGCAACUUACCUUUUUGGCACAAGAAAUUCAAAACGAUCCUGUAACUUCCUUUGUUCAGAUAAACACCCUCAUAAGCUAGUUUCUCCAGCAUCCCAAGGGCCUCAUUGAACCUGCCUUCUCUGCACAAACCUUUAAGUAACACAUUAAAAGUUACCACAUCAGCCUUGCACUUCAUCUCCCUCAUCUCUUUAAGCAACUCCAAGGCUCCAUCUACGCUUCCUGACUCACAGAAGCAAUUUAUCAAUGUAGUAUAGCCAACUGUAUCAGGUUGCAAACCAACGUUCUUCAUCUCAUCAAAAGCCUCUUUUGCCUCCUUCAACCUGCCCUCUUUGCAAAAUCCAUUCAUCAAGACUGAAUAAUUAAAGACAUUUGGGUUGCAACCAUUGCUUCUCAUGAACUCCAUUAUCUUCCUGGCCCUAUCAACCUUUCCCCCAUGACAAAAGCCACUAAUCAGAACAUUGUAAGUAAGAGCAUCAGGUAAUAUUUGAUCCUUUGACACCAUUUCCUCAAACAAUUUAAUUGCUUCUUCAAGCCUUCCACUUUCACAUAGCCCAUCCAUCAGAGUUGAGUAAGUAAUCAGAUUAGGAUAAGACCUCUUAGACUUCCUCAUCUCCUUCAUGACUUCAAACGCAGAUUCAAGAUCCCUGACUUUGCAAUGAUACUUGACCAAUAUGUUAAAAAUACAGGUAUUUGGUCUUAUUUUGAGAUACUCCUUGACAUGGAGUAGAAAUUUCUGGGCCAAAUCAAUCUGUUUCGCUUCAAUCAACAGAUUGAGACAUGUGCUGAUGGCUUUGAGAGAGGGCUUCUCACGAACAAUUGGCUGAAUUGCAUAGAACAUCUCAAGCACCCUCUCAUGCAGAGAAGACUUGGAGAAAUGCUUCAUGAGAUUAAGUAAUACAUUUUCAUGAAAUUUGCAUGUUUCAUAGGUCAUCUGGUGAAGCAUUGCAUCAACAGCCUGAAACUUCUUGGCCCGGGCAAGCUUAUGGAUUAUAGUUGAAUAGGUAGCAUGAUUGUGAUUAAAACCCUUUUGCUCUGCUACCAUGUUGAAAAUUUCCAAUGCACGUUGUGGGUCCCUCUCAUGUUUGAUCAAGUUUAUGGCAGAAUCGUGAGAUAUGAAUUUUGAUUUCCUUCGAGAUUCCACAAGGAUGUUUGAGGUUUCCGGUGGUGGAUCUGGCAUGGAAGGAGUUGCUUUUGAAAACUGAAGAGGAGAGAUCCAUGGAAAUGAAUAUGAUGGAGUUAAAGCAGAAGUGGUGAAUGAGCGAUGCUUAUGGCAAAAACUUCUCAUAGAUAUCAUGAAACCUGCUGCGCCUUUUAUAUAACUUCAUCAUCUGAAAUAGAUGAUAACCUGUUAGCCUUAUUUUCAAAUGUCCAUCAAAAAGUAUACUUCAACACCAACACAAGCAUUGAUUCAAUUCAUAAUCAUAUCUUAAGCAUACAGUGUGACCAAAGCAAAAACAACAUUUAUAGUGAUGGCCACAGCAAAGACAACAAUGCUAACCAAGGAGACGAGAAUGUUUAAAGUGACAUCAUUUAAGAAGUAAGCUCUACCAUAUGUGGCAUGUCUGUUUUAUGAAAAAUGCUGUUGGUUUUCGAAGUAAGAACACAAAGAAAUAAAGAUGAAAAGCAGCAUAAUUGGGGCUGCCACAAAAACUUGCAUAAAUUUCGUUGGUAAUAACAUGUAUUUAUACAUGAAAUCUUAAUAGAAAUUGCAUUAGAAGUGCAGAUAAUAAUACUGUAACUUUAAAUUUGAAAACAUAACCACUUGAUUGCUAAAAAAUCUAUAAUAACUAAUUCAUUUUCUAGGAUCUUUUAUUUCUUUAACCUAUUAUUGGCAUUAUUGCAACUAAAGCAUCAUCAACGACGCUCAUCCUUCACUUAGGAGCUACAAACGCUAAAAUAACUCCUCCUGAAGUUGAUCCCAUAUGGCUUUUGCUGAAGGCAGGUUCAUGAGGCUGCUGCAAAACCUUGCAUAAAUUUCACUGGUACUAAUAGGUAUUUAUACAUGGAACUAGCAGAAAAUGCAUUAGAAGUGCAGCCAAUAAUGUUGUAAAUUUAAAUUUAAAAACAUUACAACUUAAUUGCUAAAAAAUCUGUAAUAACUAAUUUAUUUUCUAGGAUCUAAUCUUUUAUUUCUUUGAACUACUCUUGGUGUUGUUGCAACUAAAACAUCAUCAAAAACAAAUGUACGAUGAUUAUUAUAACUGCAAUGUAAAUUUACUCAAUUGACCAUAUAUUUCUCUCUAAUCAACUUGGCUUCAUUUGUCUUUUUUCUCUUUGCAUCCUUUCUUCUUUCCCCCCAAUUUUGGCUAACCAGAUUUUUUUUUUUAAAGAAAAGAACAGCCACUCAUUCAAAAAGGCAACAGGUCACGCAAAGUCAAAGGGAUACCACUGACAACCAAAUCAAAUUACCAAGGUGGCCCAAACUUUUCUUUUUAAUCAAAAUUAGUUCCAAAAUUUUCCCCUCUUCUUGUGAAACAAAAUACAGAAUAGAAUACAACUGUCCAGUUCCAAAUCCUAGAAACAAGAGUAACUUGAACAUAAAAAGCAGUAAAGGAAGAUCCAAGCUAAAAUUUUGGCCAAAUCAAACAAAGGAGAAAGCCCCACUUCUUGGAAAGAGGGGAAUCAAAUAAAGAUUACAACAUUUACAUGACUUCUUUUAAAUUCGAAAUCACCAUAAAGUUGAAAAAAGGAAAAGCAGUAAGAGUUGAAAAUGAAGCAAAAUUAAAACUCUAUGCCACAUCUAUGCUCCAAAAGAAGAAAGAAACCCAAUUUAGGAUAGAUUAGCUUUGAACACAAAACGAAAGAAAAGACAUUUCUACAUUUUCUUCACAUUGCAACAUAAAUUGCAAGCCAUAUUUCUAAAACAUCAAAAAUUUAAUUUCUGAAAUUUUGAAAUAUUAAUCUCUUCGUAUGAAAAAUAAUACAAAACGACAAGAGAGAUUUUCACCUAAAUUUCUUCAUAUUGCCACCAAAAUUCCUUAGUGAAAAUGAAUAUCAAUCCCGUAACAAAGCCUAAAACGAAUAAGAACAAACUCAAUCACAAACCCAUUUGGCAAAAACCCAAUUCAGAUAAGAGGAAAACUACAACAAACCAGAUAAGAAGAAAUUUUACCUAGCAAGAGAAAGAGUUGAGCGUUUAGCUUACAGAGACGAUGCUUGGUAAUUGGUGCUUUCUAAGUAGUAAUUAGAAGCAUAUGUAACUAAUAACCCAAGAUCAAGAGAAGGAAAAGGAAGCCCAAGAGACUGGAGCAGUGAUGAGUGAUGAGAAUCUACAGGCGGGACCGCCGGAGAGCCGAGAAAGACAGAGGCAAUCGAGAUUUCUAGCUUUUUGGAGGGCUACUUUUAGCAUUUCUAGUACAGCCCAACCAGGAAGCCCACUCUUAAGAUUACUUGGCCCAAUCUUUAAUACAACUGAGGUAACCAAGGCCCUUUAUUUUAAAUAAUAACAAGAUUUAAAAUAAUAAUGAUCAUAAUUAUAAUCAUAAAGCCUAUACCUGGAAAGUGGAAAAUUUCCAUUUUAUGCUACAAACAGAAAAGAAAUUAAUUAAUUAAUUUUAUUUUCCAUAGUAAAAUAAUUAUCUAGAUUGAAAGAAUAUAGUACUUUUAUUAAAGAUUAAACUUAUUUCGAACCACAUACCGAUUAUUUCGAUUUAAAUAAAAUUUUGAAUCAAAUUUAAAUUUUGGUUUGAGUUUUUUUUUUUUUUACGACCGAAAUUAUAUUUUGUGAUUAAAAUUUCAAAUUUAAAAUGCCUCUCUAUUUCUAUAAAAGGACUAGAGAUUACUUAUCUACUCUUCCUCCAUCAAUCUUGAGAAUUCUACCAUUUCCUUUAGCAAAAAUACACCUUGAAAAGUUAGGAGAGACAUUGCUAAGUUACAUAUUUUCAGCAUUAAAGGAUAAUAUUAUUUCUUAGGCUUGUAUUCUACCAUCCCCAAAUUAAGAAAGCAAGAUUUUUUUUUGUUAAUUAGGAACACGAUUGAAAAUAAAACUGCUGGCGGUAGAGAAAAACUUUUAUUUCAAUAUUGUGAAAUAGUUAUUAUUCAAGUAGUUACUCAAAUAAUUCCGAUGUAUAUGAUGAGUUCUGAUGAUCGUUGAACCUCUAGCAUUCGGGCUGAGGUGGAGUUUUGGAGGAGGAGACAGGUCUAAAGCCCAUUAGAGGCCACCAAUCAGGUCGACCCAUGAAUACACUAUCCAAUCCGUGAUUACAGCAAAUUGGGCUGACUAAGAGUCCAGACCUGUUUGAAGGGAGUCUAACUCGUUUGAUGUGACAGGGAGAAGGAGAACAAGUCCAACUAUGGCACUACCCUAUUAACACGCGCGUUGGAGGGAAAUUAAAUAGUUGCUUGACGAUAAUGAAAAAGCAAGUACGCCCAUACGUAACACUGUUAUGCGUCAAUAAAUGGCAAGAAAAAAAUGAAUAAAAGAUGGAACGUAACUUCUCAGAUUAAACUUACACACACUCAAAAAACUAUAUUUUCUUUGGACUGGAUUUCAGAAUAUUAAGUUCUAUUCAUAUCAAAACAUUUCUUUGCAAAGAUAAAAAUAAAAUAAUUGCUCAAUUUUCAGAGUUAAAAAGAUAAGAAAAGAAAAUUUUAUUUAAAUUAUUUGGAAUAAGUUAUAUGAUCCAAAAUGAAAAGGAAUUUAAGUUUUAAUGAUUUGCGGGAUUUUAACAAAAUACUUCUAUAUAAAUAAACAUGGAAAAUUAUGUUAAAAUAUAUAUAUUUUUUUUCACUCUAGCUCCAUGGAAGCUUGUUUCUCUAGGAUGAUGGUAUAUUAUGGAAGAGAGGAGUGCUAGAGAAAGGAGUUGCUAGCAUACUAGUAAUGUAAAUUCUAUUUACAUCAUAAAUAAUUGUUGGAUCCUCAAGUCUUAUGCUUACCCCUCUUGUGUAAAGUUAACAACAAUCCAUCUAUCCCUUGGUGGCUCUAAAUUGUGGAAUUUACCAAUAUUCAAGUAAAUAACAUCUUAUCCAUCUCUAUUUGUAUAUUUACCAGUAAAAAUAAGUUAGUAUGGCAGCAGAAUUAAUAAAAAAUAUAUAUUAUUAAGUUAGAAUAUUAAUUACUCAACGGUUAAAUUUAAGUUUCAUAUAAAAUAAUGAACUAGUAUGAUUAAAACCUUUUACGGAAUAAUAAUGCAAUAUUUUUUUUAAAAAAGAACUAAAAUCCAAAGUUACCCAGAAAUUUAAGGAAAAGAAAUUUCAUCCUUCUUUGGAAAUCGAUGAAGGAAAGCUAAAUAGGACAUUCCUUCCCAUCCCAAAAGAAUGCAAGUUUUAUGGAUAAGUGGAGUAAUGCAAACAUUUUUUUUUCCAGGGACAUGGAGAUUUGGAUCUAACUCUCAUUUCAAAAUUAGAUCUAGCAUACUCUCAAAUAUGCACAUGGAAUAUUUUUGUGAACUCAUAAAAUUCACCUCCUCGUCUAUAUUUUUAUAUAUUUUAUUGUAUUAUAUUAAAAAAUAAUAAUUUCCAAUGAAAUUAGUGAUAAAUUAUAUGUAAAUGGCUUAUAUUGCUAAUUUCAUUGCAGUAACUCUAUUUUCUGGUAAUAUUUCUUAAGGCAAAACAUGUAUGAGAAUUUUCAUUCAUUUGCUUAAAACAAAAAAUUUCUAAGCACAUUGAUUGUCAUAUAAUUAAAAUUAAAUACACUUUUCAGAAUUUUCAUUCAUUUGAUUAAAAUUUUUUUCUAAUUGUCAUAUAAUUAAAAUGAAACAAUUUUUUAUAUUUUUGAAAUUUCUUUAUUGUACUUUUUUUAUAUUUUUGCUUGGAGAGGGUUUAUUGACUUCACUGAUUCCGACGAAACUGAUCUCUGUUACGUUUUCUUUUUUUUAUAGAGUUUGUUUGGACUUUAAUAAUGGCUUAUUCACCUAUAUUUUUAACUUUAUGAGCCUUUUUAAUGUAAAUAUAUUUGCAUGGUUAAAAAAUAUAUUUUUUAUAUAAAAUUUCAUUUGUAUUUUAUCUCUUCGUAAUUAGAAAAUGCAUAUGCAUUUUGUUCACCUGCUUUUUUUUUUCAAUUAUUACAAUUUUUUAAUAUUAUAAGUAAAUCAUAUUCUGCAUAAAAAUUAUAUACUUAAUACAACUUUUUAUUUUAUUAUUUAUAUAAUAUAUCUUUUAAUCUAUUUGUAAUAAAAAUAAUUAUCAUUUAAUUCAAUAAAAAAAUAAAAAAUUUAUUUUUUAAUUUUAAAAACAUUUUUUACCGAUUUUAUUUUAUUUUUUUGAACUUAAAAUAAAUUCAACCGAAACAAACCAAAUUAUUCUGCCUUUAAAAAAAAAAAAAUCAAAACUGAAACGGACACGAACCAAAAUGGACGCCACCUGAUCCUCAUUUUUCAGGUACUGAUCAGUGGUUCAUUGGUUUGGACCCGAAACAGGGCAGGCAGCAAGUUCCAGUAAGGAUUUCGGACCACAAAGAAACCAGACAAACGUGGCACGCGUUUUGCGAAGACACGGAGCUUAAGAAGCCAAAUAUUAGAAAAGAAAGGCGGCGUUGGAUAACGGCGGUUAAGACGGUGAGUCUGGCUUUUCGUGUUGCACGAGGCGUGCCGCCGUCUGUUUCCUUGUCUGUUUUGUUGGUUACCGGGAACGGUAAUUUAGGAUGACGGCAUCUCCCAAACACCAACAAUUUGUCGUCAUUCUCCGUCCUCUAGCCGCGUGGCCAGGAUUACCGAAUCCGCAUGGAAGUUGCUGAUCUCAGUUUCGCUAUUUCAGCGUUGAAGUGGUCAAGAUGGAAGAUCUAACGGCUAGAAGAGAAAGCAUAUAGGUUUAAAAAUGUGAAUGGGUGCAUUCGAUAAUUGCUCAAAUAUGUAAUAAUUGAAGAGCACUUGGUAAGCGGCAGGCGGGGCGGCGGGGGAAGUGUUUUUAUAGUAAAGAGGAUAGUCAAAGGUCUCGUUGACUGAGCCGAACAUUUGAAUAACCUCAAACAGCGAUUGAGGAGCGCCUGCACUGACACGCUUUUCUACACGUGUAGGCUUUUUUUUAAUUAACAAAAUUUUAAAAUUAUUACAAUUGCAUAAAAUAUUGAAAUUGGCAAUGGAUAUUCUUAUCAAUAUGUCAGUUUUAAUUGAAUAAAACAUUUUAUUUGUUAAAUUCAUCUACUUAUAUCUAUUAAAAUCCCAUUUUUACUUUUUUAAGUUGCGCUGGUGGCAUUAGAUUUCAAUUCUGAUUAUAUGUCUUCAUGGGUAUUUAAUUUGAUUAAACUAUAUCUGUUUAAAAUCAGUAAAUUUUAUAAUAAUUUAAUUUAUUUAAAAUUCAAAUAUUUAUUUCCUUUUUAACUUAAUAUUAUUUCAUUGUAAAAAAUAAAAAUCAUAUAUAAUGCGCACAAGUUCAUUAAAUUUUUUUUUAGUGCAAAUGAAGCCCAUAAGUGUUUCAUGAUUGUUUUCAUAAAAUAAUAAUUUUAUUGAUACUUGAAAAUAAAAUUUUAAUUUAAUGAAAAAAAACUUAAUGUUAUUGAAUCCUUUAUUUAAAAUAAAAAUAAUUACUUUAUUUAAUCUAUUAUAAUUUCAUUUUAAAAUGUAAAUAAAUUAUAUAAAAUUUCAUUUAAAUUCUUUUUUUUUUUUUGCAAAAAUGCAAAUGAAGCAUAAAAAUGAUUCAUUAUUAUUUUAAUAAAUAAGAUUUUUAUUUUAUUUAUUAAACAUAAAUUGGUGAUUUGAAAGUAUAAUUCCUAUUCAAUUACUUCAAUUUACUAUUAUAUUUUUAGUUUUUUAUUCAACCAUUUAAAUACAUGUGUACCAUGAAUAAAACAUCAUUUUUUAUCAAGGAUACGAUGAACAUUUUUUAAAAUAAAAUUCUCAUUUUUAUUUAUAUACAAAAAUGAAAAAAUGAAAAAUAUAUUCAUUAAUAAUAAAAAUGAAUUUGUCUCCUUACCAUAACGAUGAGAUUAAUUAGUCUGUUAAUGGUGGUUAAGGAAUGCCUUCAUUUGCAAAGUAUCGAGUUACGACAAGCACUCGGUAAAAGUUAAAAAAAAAAAAAACAGCUGUAAAAAAAUGAGAGCUUAUUCUGGUAUAAAACCUACGUGUCAAAAUCUGAUUAGACAGUGAACUUACUCGAGUGGAUCGUGCAAGAGAAGCCACGUUUCCUAUCUUUGAAUGUACACACAGAUGCACACAGCACAAACCCACCCCAAAAGGAGCGUAGCUUUAACCUUCAAACCCCACCUUUCUCUCUCCUCCUCUCUAUAAAAACCAACGCGCCUCCUGCCUCACCGUAACUCAACCUGUCUUGCAUUCUCUUCUCUCUCUUUCCGCGAAGAUCUGAAACGGCUUUCAGCAACAAUGGCUCCCAAAGACAGAUCGACCAGUAGCCCUACCCCCAGCUCCAACGCCAAGGAGAUCCGCUACAGGGGGGUUAGGAAGCGCCCUUGGGGUCGUUACGCCGCCGAGAUCCGUGACCCCGGCAAGAAAACCCGUGUCUGGCUUGGUACUUUCGACACUGCUGAAGAGGCUGCGCGUGCUUACGAUGCUGCUGCUCGUGAGUUCCGCGGCUCUAAGGCCAAGACUAAUUUUCCUUCGGUUGCCGAACUUAACACCGCUGCCGGCGCCGCACCUCUUGUCACCGUCGCUCGCAGCCCAAGCCAAAGCAGCACCGUCGAGUCUUCCUCUCCUCCGCCUCCACGCCCUGCUUCUCCUCCACCUCCUCUCGACCUCACUCUGAACAUCCCCAACCAUCACCGCCAAAGCCACUUCACCAACAGUGUUGGCUUUCCUGGGGGCGCGUGGAUUUCACUCGCGGCGGUUUCUCGCCCGGUUUUCUUUUUCGACGCGUUUGCCCAGGGAGAGAAUAAAACUCGUACUAACCCUAACACGUGCAGAUUUGAUCGGUCGGCGGCGAUAAUGAACGGCGGUGUUCAGAGUGAUUCAGAUUCUUCAUCUGUUGUUGAUUAUGACCACGAUCCGAGUCCUUAUAACAAGCGAAUAUCACUUGAUCUCGAUCUUAACCUUCCUCCGGCUGAAGUUGCCUGAUUUUGAGGAGAUCCGAUUUUUGGGAAGUCGUUUUGGGCUUCAGUGUGUGUCGUUUUUUUAAAAGAGAUUUUAUUUUAACUCAAUUUCCAGUCGAGACAGGAGGAAAAUGAGAGGAAAUUAGAGCUAAAGGAAAGAAGCUGACGUAUCUUUUUUUUUUUUGAAUUAUGUACAUAAAGAGAGAUAACCCAAGCAAAAGCAUAUAUCCUUGUUUUUUGGCAACUGAGAAAUCAUGAAUUUCUCCGAUGUUGUUUCUACUGUUAUUAUUUUUAGUAAUAAAUAUAAAUAUUUCCAUCUCUAAUCAAAACAAUUUCUUUUUCUUGAUCUCUAUUUUCUUUUGUUUUUGGAUUUUGUUUUCAAUCCAUGUUAUGAUUUUGGUUGCCGAGAAAAUCAGUGCGAAAGUCGAUUGUGGGGAUGUCCUACUCAUGCCGUGCGAAACGGGUGUGGCAUAUGUUCCCAUAUGAGAAACAGAAACAAUAGAGCCAAGAAUCAGAAGAAUUUUCCUACAUUUUCCCAGUGACCAAACAGAAUCCGUAGUUCCAAUAUUCCAAAUUUGUUUUCACUUGCUUGGAUUUUGGCUGCGUCUUAUUUGCUCAAGUGGCGUACAGGUGUCAAGGAGACAUGUCGCCGGCGUUGAGUCGGUGGUUUGAUUUUGAUGUGUGGUUCCUUAGAAUGAGCAGCGUAGGCUAAUCGAUAGCAUCCGCUGACACGUGGACCCCGUCCACCGUACGAAAAGCCGCACCUAAUUUAAUCAUUAUUUGAAAAUUUAAAAUAAUAAUCAAAGGAUUUAUGAAAAAGGAAGAAAAGAGCUUGCGUUAAUUAAGAUAAACAAAAACAGCAACAGCGGGCGGCCUCAUGAUGAGAAGCAUGGGGUGUACGCUGGUCAUCAAAACUCUCCCCGUGAUUCGCAUACUCGCUUGUCCUUUUCUGGCCAGAUCUCUAAAAUGUUCGUAAUCAGACGCCUGGACAAGGACUCAUAGAUAGGGCCCAGAGAUACGCGUUACGUGUAGGUUGUUUAAUAUUUUUUGGAGGUUUAGAUUAUUACAGGCGGCACCGACGGCGAUUUGAGUGAGUGUGAGAAAGAGACCGAAUCAGUGCGGCAUGAAUGGGUCCACGUAGUGUGGGGCCCGGUCGAGUAAUUCCGUGUUGACGAGGAACAUGUCGGGAUUCGGGUUGUCGUCACGUGCACUUCUACCGUCCGAUAAAAGCUUUAAUUAUAGCUUUUGGGUUCUGUUUUCAGUUAUCAUAUUUCUUUUGCAUUUUAGCCCCUCCUGCCUUCUUAUUUUCAAAAUGUCUCCCAUCAGAUUUUAUUUUUUCGUUUAUAUAUUAUUCCUUUUGCAUAUUAUAGUACGAAGCACAGAUAGCAUCAAAAUAAGUUGCCUUUCUUGUUUUUUAUACUUUAAUAGGAUUGAUAUAAUUAUAAAACAAUAAAUUAAUCUCAUAACAUUAAAAUGGCAGUAUUCAAGCUUGGAUGAAUGUGGAACUUCACGAAACCUCAUAUUUGUUGGGGUAGAAAUGAUUUAAAUUAAAGAAGAAGGUCUUAAUUGAAAAUUUAAUUUAAAAAAUGAGAGGCGAACUAAUCUUUUCUUCUUUUUUAUAAGGAGACAAGAGUGGUCCACGUGUGAAACAGUCUUGUAAGAGGAGGCGCGGCGGCCGCUUUUGUGGGCUCCCACUCCCUACUCCAAUUUGUCCUCUGGAAACCAUUUGUCAAAGAUUUCUUCUCUCGUCACAUGAGCUAGGUAAUAUGAUAUCGACAACCAUCCAAUCAACGGUUGCAACGUGGAAAACAUCACGUGGAAGAAUGUACGAGUGCGGAGCGAGAAGCGAGGUGUGUGUGUGGUGAUAUGUCAGUGGGUAACAGACGGUUGAAGCCGGCGCGUCGACGGUGGAGGGAUUUAAUAAUGGGACCUGCUGGUAGGGGAAGGGCAGUGUAGUUGGGCGACACGUGGAACGCUUAAAAUAAGGAAAGUGAGGGUUUUAAAAGCAACCGCCAAAAAGGCUUGGGCGGCUGCUUGUGUUUGUGUGAGAGUGCCUUUAACGCCGGUGUUUGUUGGGCUGCUAGGUGACCUUACCUUCUUUUUAUGAUUUUUCUUUAAAUAUUUUUAGAAUUAUUAUUCAGAAAAAAUAUAAAGGCACCAGAAUAUUACAUAUAAUAUCAUAUAUUAUUAAUAAAUAAUAAUAAUUUUUAAAUAUUAUUAAAAAUAUUAAUAUAAAAAAUAAUAUAAUUAUUAAUCAACAUUUAUUUUAAAGAAUAAAAUAAAAAAAUAUUUGCAUUUUUAUUUUAGGAUCAACAAUUUAAUUUAAAAAAAAAGAAACAAUAUCUCGUAAAUUGAUUUUAUAUUAAUAUUUUUUCAUAAUAUCUAAAAAUUAUUGAUGUUUAUGAACGAUGCAAUACUGCACAUUAUUAUUUUAAAAUAAAUUAAACUACAUAAUGAGUAAAUUACAUAGUACUGUUUUAUAUUUUUUUAAUUAUUAAAUUUUUAACUUUUUUUUUAAAUUUACUGAUUUAUUUUUAUUUUAAAAUUAUUAAAUUCAAAUAUAUUUAUAUUUUAGAAGUUAAAUUAUCUAAAAAAUAUUAAUCAAUUUAUUUUAGUGUGAGUUAAAUAAACUAAAUAAUAUAAAUAUUUAAAAUUUAAAAUUUAAAAUUUUAAGUAAUAUAUAUAAUUAAAAUUAUAUUAAUUAAAUAAUAUAAAAAAAGUUGAUAUGACUAAUGUUUUCUUUACAAAAUGAUUGAAAGACAUUUUAAUUAAGUAAUUUUUUAAAUAAGAGCAAAUUAAUAAAUUAUUUAAAAAUUUUAGUUAUUGUAAAAUAGAUUUAUUGAGGCAGCCAUAUUUAUAAUAUGUUAUAAAAAUAGAUGAAAUAAAAUAAAAAUUUAAAUCUAGAUGCUUUGUGAAGUAGUUAUUGCUUUAGAUUAAAUUUGCUUCAUUCGCUUUGGAUACUAUCUGAGCUUGGGGCAGUUCCAUUUGUGUUGAAAUUCAGAAUUAGCUAGUCGUUUUGUCUGUAUAUAGAUGGAUUAUUUGUUAUUUUGUUAAAAAUUGUAUUUUCAUAUUUAUUUUGUAUUUAUAUUUUUAAAUUAUUAUAUACCCUGUUUAAGAUAAAAAAUUUUUUAUAAAAAUUUAAUUUAAUUGAAUUCAUUUUUUAUGAAAUUUUUAUUUGAAAUAAAAAUAUUUAAAAUUUUUUAAUUUAAAAAAUUUUCAUUAUUAUUGAUUAUUUAUUUUUUUUUAAUAAAAUCAUUCAUGUUAAGACUAAAGAUAAAAUUUUAUUUAUUUAAAAUUGAUUAUUAUUGAUUGGCUUCUUUUUACAAAAUAACUGAAUUAAAUGGGAAAUUGAACUUUUAUGGAAAGCGCAUAUUCGUAUUAAAAUGAAUCAAGGGAAUAUUAAAUUUAAUAACUACCUCUAGGUUUUAUUUUUAAUAUAUAAAUUUAAUAUUGUUUUAUUUUUUUAAUUAUUUUAAAAUUAUUAUUCACUUUAUAUCUUUAAAUUAUAAUAACAUACAUAAAAUGAAUAUUAUAAUUUUAUUUUACUUUCAACAAUCUUUUAAAAUAUUUAUUAAUAUUUAAUAAAAUUUAAUAUAUUUAAAAUAAAUACAAUUAAAAAAUUAAUAAAAAUUUAUAUUUUUUAAUAUGUAUAAAAAAAUAAAAUAAAUAAAAAUUAUGAUUGAAGUAACUAUUAAAUUUAUAUUAUCUAUUCGUGUCAUACUUUUUAUCCACUUUAUAUUUUUUAUAUAUUAAAAAUUAUAAAAUUUUUUAUUAACUUUUUAAUUAUAUCUCUCAUAAACAUAUUAAAUUUUAUUAAAUAUCAAAAAGAUAUUUUAAAAAGUUUUUUAAAAAUAAAAUAAAAUAAAAUGAAAUUAUAAUAAUUAAUUUAUGUAUUAUUAUAAUUUAAUAAAGAAAAAUAGAUAAUAAUUUUAAGUAGGUCAAUGGGAGCUCUAACUAAGAUUAAGUAGGUCAAAUCAAGUCUCUUGCAGCUAACAGGGAAGAAGGCAACAGAGUUUCAGGAUCAAUCUAUAACUGUGGUGCAACUUAAAGACUCAAAUAAGCAAGAAGAACUCCCUAUUUGCCACAACCCAACAUAUGAGCAAGGUAUUAAGAGUAUUCAGAUAAUCUAGUCUUUAUCUUGCAAUACCCCUUCCCUCUUAAACAACUCCUGAGCCUUUUUGAGCCACAACCUUAAACCCUCCAAUGGUUUGGCAUGCAUGCAACUACCUUAAUAGGUCAUAGACUAAUCCUUCUCAUUUUAAGCUUCACCUGCAAACAAAAGGAGAGAAAGAACAAAAGCUAAAAUAUUCACAACUUAGCCCUGGAGGCAGAAAAGGGAAAACUCAUUCUCCAAAGCUGGGGAAAGAGUUUUCAAAGCAUGCAAGCCUGAAAAAAACAUGCAUAAACUAAAACUCUGUCGCCUAGAAGAAGAAACAAAGAUCAAGAUGUUUAUCUCUUCUAGUCAUUUUAACUUAGAUCCUAUUAUGUGUACAAAGGUAUUAGCUUUAUCUAUAUAAUUUUAAUUUAAAUGAAAAUCUAAAUAGACUUAACAAGUGAUUAUGAAAUCAUCUUAAUUUUUACAUUUAUUUUCUAUUAACUCUUUUUUAUAGCAAUAUUAAUAAUUUUAUUUUACUUUUAUUUUAAAAAUCAAUUGUAACGUGCUAUUUUUGUAUAAAGUUUAUAAUAAUCAAAAUUGCAUAACCCAGUGCUCAACUUAUUAGGAUUUUUAUUAAUAGGUUAAACGAGAUUUUUAUCUCUUUUUAAAAAUAAAAAAUAAUACACUUGUUAGUUUUUUCUUUCUAAUUGAUAUUUUCUAAAAAUAAAUUUAAUAAAAAUAUGUAACACAAAGUAAUAAUAGAAUUAUAAUAACAAUAAUUAUUAAAGAUGAUCAUUUUUUUUAUUAAAAUGAUCAAGCAUAAGAUAUUAUCAAAUAUAAACAAAUUAUAAAGCAUUUACCAAAUUUUAAUAAUAGAAAAAGCAUUUUCAAAUAAACUUUUUUUUAAAAUUAUAAAUAGUUGAAUAUUAUAUUAAUUUGGAAUAAGAAUAAUAUAACUUAUAACAGAUUCAAACACUUUUUUCUUUAAUUAAUUUUUAUAGUAAAUUAAAUUUGACUAAAUUUAAUAUUAUAUUAGAAUUUUUCCUUUAGUAAAUAUGUUGGCUCUAGUAUAAUUUUUUACUAAUAUUAAAUAUCCUGUAAAUAUAUCAAGUUUAAUUUUGGGUGUUACCAUAUAUAUUAAUUAUAAUAUAUUGUAUUUAAUAAUUAAUUUUAACAUAAUUAAUAAUUUAUAAUAUAUAUAAAAAUGAGAAAGAUAAUAAUAGAAUUUUCUAUAUUAUUGUUAAGUACGCAUAUAAUUUACCAUAUUACAGAUUAUAACGCUACUCUAUCCUAAGUUCAUCUCAAUUUUAAUUUUUAAUAUUAUAAAUAAUAUAAUCAAAAUUUAAUAAUUGUAAUUUAUAUGUUUGUUAAAAUAAUAUUAAGAUGAAUACAAAUUUUAUACAAACUCAAACAUUUAAUACAAUUUAAUUACUAAUUUAUUUAAUUGAAAAUAAAAGCUAUACAAUCAAUAUAUAAAAUUAUUAAAUUAAAUAUUAAAAAUUACGAUAAUAAAUAACAAAAUACGAUAAUAAUAUGAAACUGAUAUUUCUGUUAGAUGAAUUCGUCGUAAUAUUACUCUAACAGCUCAUACUUCGAUUAGAAAAUUUAUCAGGUAUAAUCGUCUUUUUAUUUGGUAUGAUAUCCCUCUAUAUUUAAUAAAAUUUUAUUAAUAUAAUCAUAUAAUUUUACUUUUAAAAAAAUAAUAGUAUAUGAAUUAUAACAAUAAAUAAUUAAAUUUAAUUAAUUAUUUAAAAAUAUAUUAUAAUAUUAUAUAAAAUAAAAAUAUAUGUGUAAGAGUUAAUCACAAGUAUAUACAUAUAAACAAUAAACAAUGCAAUGAUUUUUCUUUCUAAGAUAGAUUAUUCAUUAAAAUUGAAUUUUGAGCUUAAUUCAAUAAAUUGAUUUGAUUUAAUUCGUUGAAUUUUUUAAUAAAUUUUUUAUUUUAAUAUUUUAAAAUUUAAUUAAAAUAUUUUAAUUUAAUUAUAAUUUAAUCUAUUUAUAUUAUAAAAAUAAUAUAUUAUUAUCAUAAAUCUGUUUGGUUUAAUUUUUUUUUUAAUUAAAAUCAAAAUAGACCUAAAUAAAUAAAAUAUUGAAUCAAAUUUUAAAAUUAAUUCAAUUUAGUUAAUUUUUUUAAUUUAAUUUGAUUUAAUUUUUAUUCAAAUCAAUUUGAUUUAUUUUUUAUAAAUAUUAAAAUUUUAAUUUUAAAUUUAUUUAAUUUGAUUUAAUUUUAAAUCUAACCAAAUAUUGCUUCAUAUUGAACAUUUAAAAAUCACUAGAUCUUCAUAUUUAUUUAAUUAAAUUCCUCUUAAAACUAUUUAGGAUUGACAAACUAAACAUUUAAAAUUUAAAAAUACAAAAUAAUAAAAUCUCUUAUAUCUAUAAAAUUUUUUAAUUUAAAUUUAUUUAUAUUCAUAUAUUACCAAAUCCUCCUCGUCUAUAAAGUUAGCAUUAAUAAUAAUUAGCUGUUUACUUACAAAAUUUUUUAAAAAGUUUUUUUAUAUAAUUAAAUAUAUAUGUAACGUUAGAUUUCCAUUAUGCUUAAUGAUUAAUUAAUUAAUUAUUUUUAAUUUAAUAUUUCAUAUUUUCUAUAAUUGUAUAAUAUACAAUGGUGUAAGGAAAAAAAUACUGAGAUAAAAAUUUUGAUAAUUUUUAUUAUAAUAAUGAAAGACUAAAAUUAAUUAGCUAUUGAUAACUCAACAAUGGUUAAUUAUGAUUAAAAGCAAAAUAUAGUAAUAUUAGUUAAUUUAUUAUUAUGAUAAUGAAAAAUAAAAUUUAUUUAGUUAAUGAAAUAAAAAAUUAUAAAAAAAUCAAACUAAAAAAAUGUAAAAGAAUAUACAUUACAGUCGGGUACAAAAUUAACCAGUACUAAAAGCUUAGAUCCUUAGUGUAUUUGCAUCUAACUGAAGUCUGGCACUCUCUAGCCAAUGUCCAAGUUAGCAAAAGGCAGUCGUUUUCGCCACCAGUAUGUCUAAAUUGGCUGGAGAAUGUGAUGAUAACGGCGCAGGUUCGAUUCCGCAAAGACUGUUUGGAGAUGGUGAGAAGAGAGGCAAUGCAAUUGCUCAUACUCUUGCUAAGUUGGGGGCAUUGGAGGAUUUGGACUGUGUUUGGGUUGAGGAGGUUACCGGCUCUAUUGCAAUUUUUUUUUUUAUGAAUUUUUUUUUCAGAUGAUGCAUAAUUGUGUCAUUUUUAGAGAAAUAAAAAUUUAUUUUUUAUUUUGGGAGCUUAUUUAGUUAAGCCAAAAACAGGUUCACACGUAUGAUAUAUUGCCAACGUUGUGUGGCAUUCUUGGAAUCCAAUACCAAUGUACCCUCCAUCUAAUCCAAAAUCCAACCACAUCUCCUUCUCUCCUUAUCUUACCAAACCCAAAACCAAAAUCAAAACCCUGCAACAACAUCUCAACCCAAAGCUUGAGUUUCUACCUUACAACAGAGGAGCUGAUACCGAAUCAAGAAAAAAGGAGACAUGGGUCGGAUUUUUGUGGUGGAGUUAGAGGGCAGGUCUUACAGAUGCAAGUAUUGUGGUACCCACUUUGCCCUUCCUGUUGAUCUCGUCUCAAGGGUAAAUCCCUUUAGUUAUUUUCAAGUUUUUUCUUUAUAUCAUUGUGUUUUUUGUUCCUUAAGCAUUUGGGAUAUGCAAGACAUGAUCUGUUUGGUACAAAUUCUGUAUCUUUGCAAGUGCUGGAGGAGCUUAAUGGAGCACUACGUAUUUUGGUGGCAACUGUUUGACAUAGAACUCUGUGUUUGUGCGGAUAAAGAUUAGAUGAUUGGUUUUAAUUUGGUUUCUAAAUUACUUAACAGUCUCUUGCUUUGAUUUGUACAGUCUUUUCAUUGCCGUCGAGGAAAGGCAUACCUCUUCAAUAAUGUGUGAGUUACUUGCAAUUCAUUCAUGGACUGAUUAGUCUCUUAGCUUGUUAAUGCCUUCAUUAAGCUCAUACGACUUGUAGAUUUCUGGUACUAUUUAUUAGUCAAAUUCUGUCUUUGAUUCUAAAAGAGUUGCUCUUUUUUUGGGUCUAUAUUGUCUACAAAGCAUACAAAUUUCAAGUUGUUAACAGUGAAAGUAUUGCUGCACUUAUUAUAAUUGAUCAUGUUUGACUGGAAAAAUGACUAGCAUAUGCUUCAGUUGCAGGCAUUUUAUUGUUCGUUUUCUUUAACAUUCUGAGUUCUGUCCUGUAGAAUGUGAUCCUCCUUGGCUGAGUUUUGAGCUUAUGUAGUUUGGCAAAAGAAAAUAUGCAACUUGGGAAUUUGAGGUGGCACAAUUUUGUAUAGGUUAUUAUAUUAGCUGAAUAACCUCCGGCGUUGGAGCUUAUCUUUGUGAUGCACAUGGAUUUUUAUUAUGUAAACGGACUUCCUAUAUCUCUUCUUUUAAGUAUUUGUCUAGGAAAAAACUAACAGUUCUUCAAUUGCAAAAGGUGGCACUUAUAGCUUUAUUUCUUCAUGGAGUCAUAGAUUUCCAGAAGCACUGACAGUGGGUAGACGCUCCAACACAUUAUGUGGAGAAAUUAGGAGAAAGGCACCUCAGAUGAACAGUAGCAGAAACUUCUUGAAUUUAAAAUCAAUGUAAAUGAAGAAUUGAAAUUUGGAAACUUGAAAAUGGGUGGGAAAAGGACUAUGUUGAUAAUAAAUUCCUCAACAUCCUCAUUUUUCAGAUGACAAUGUCAACUUUGCAUUAUUGCAAAUUCUACCUUUCCCUCAUCUCAAAUAUUCUGAAGCAAGCACAAUGGAACAGAACAAAAAUCGAUAACACUCUUUAUUUCUUUAAAAACUUACCCAACUAGUCAUAACUUACUAAUGACAGUUCACCAUCAGGUAUUCUUAGAACUCUUUAUUGUGAAGUAGUUGAUUUUAUAUGCAACUUCCCAUGUUAUUUGGAACUGCUGCAUAUUAAUAGUUGAAAACCCUGAGAGUUGGCAACUACGAGUUUUCUUGGCUUUGGUUGGUAGUCACAAAUGUUUGAUUUCUAGCUAGAUAUAGAUACUAUGCUUUUCUUUUUUUGAAAAAAUACUGCAGGUUUUCAUCUUUAUGACCGUUUUGCUUCAUAAUAGUUCGCAUUCUUAGCCUUAAGAGCCACUUUGCUGGUUGUGGUUUUUCAGGUUCUUCUAAGCCUAACAAAUUAUUGCCUGGAGUUUCAAUAAUUGACCAAAACAAGAAAUGUGUGAUAGAUGGUUUUUCUACGGUUGUAAUUAAUUGUAUACAGGAAUUGAUUUCCUCCAUUUUUUCCCCCUGUGAUUCUUUCCAUUUUUUCCCCUAUGAUUCUUUCUUCCGCAGCUUCCUAAAUCCUAAUUUGUUCAUUCUUCCGUGAUUCACAAAAUCUAGAAGAAACUUUUAGAGUUUAAUUCAUUAAAUAUAGAAGAAAUUUUUAGAGUGAAUAUCAUGCAGUAGUAGCAUUAGAUGUGAAAAGAAACAAUAGCAUUCCUUGUCAAAACAUUUAGCCUUCAGCAAAACUUCAAUAUGUUCCUGCUAAAGCUUCCACAUUUCCUUCCCUCACUUGAAAUUGUCUCGAGCUAUCUCAGUGUAAAUACUGAUAGUAUUUGUUUGAUUUUCAUGCUCAUCGGUAUCAAUUUCGGUUGCAUGGGCAGUGAUCACUGCCUUAACUGUAGUUCCUAUGAUAUCUGACGACAACACAAACUCUGACUUGUGGUAAGAAUACAAUUCUGGGUUAUGAACUCAUAUACAGAUGUAGAGACAUGCACAUCCGCAUUUCAGUGUCUAGGUCAAGUGGAUGGAUUGACACGCAGGGAGUGUGUUCUCACCUUGAGCAAUUUAAUGUCUUCUAUCUCAUAAAGCAACAAAGCUGCAUAACUUGGAGUUUGUUUCAGGGUGAACAUCACAACUGGAGCCUCGGAGGAGAGAAUGAUGCUUUCCGGAAUGCAUACCGUUGCAGACAUAUUUUGCUGCUGCUGUGGACAAAUUAUUGGCUGGAAAUAUGUACUUCCCCCACCCCACACGCACACACGCAUGCCUGACUUACUGUACAUAAAACAACCUUUUUGCUGAAUUUGAACUAAGAUUUCUUGUCAUUUCCUUACCAGGAGGCAGCACAUGAGAAGAGCCAAAAGUACAAAGUAGGCAAGUUUGUUCUUGAAAGGUCCAGCUCUUGCUUUAUAAAUUAAGAUAUUCAUGCUUCUGUCUAGCUUCUUGACGUCAUACUUAUUCAUGGCUGCAUUUCAAACAGAGGGAGGAUCGUUGACGAGAUGGACUUGUCGACGGGAGUCUUUAUAGACGCGCACUCUGGUAUGAGUGAUGGAGAAGAUGCAUAAGAUUUGAAUUCAACUCCCAAGUAGAUGUAAAAAGUAAUGUAGUAGGAAGGCACUUGUAUAGAAGAACAAUUGUGCAAACUCUGAUAGUUGAGAGAUUUUUCAUAAUUUUGGUGGAAAUGGUGUAAUUUGCAUUGUUAGAAAUAGUGAAUCUGUGCCUACUCUUUGAUACUGUGCAUUCUUAGUGCUCCCAAGAGAUCUCUUUCCGGCCAUGGAGACCGACGGUAGUUGUGUUGCUCUUUCUUUUAACUGUAGGUUUUAAAUGAAAAUUUUUUAAAAUUAAAAAAAAAAUUAAUUUUUUUUCAUUUUCCAAAUAAAAGAAUCAUUAGAAAUUAAAUUAAAUUAUUACAAAUUUUAAAUAGAUUAUCAAUGAAAUUUCAGAUAAAUUAAUUAUUAAAUUAAUUAUUUAAUCUUCUCUUAAAAUAUAUUAUUAGUUUUUAUUUUUCAGACAAUUAUCUAUUUAGUGAGACAUUAACUAUUUAGUCAGACUUUGAAAAAAUUAAUUUUUAACUAUUUAAUCUUUUUGAAUUAAAACUAUUAAAGCGGUUAAUAAUAUUUGAAAAGACUAAAAUAUCUUUUUUUUUUAAAAUUAAUUUAUAUAAUUUUAAAAUAUAAUAAUUCAAUUAUAUAAUUUUAAAAUCAUAAUUUAUAUUAAUUUAUGUAUUUUUGAAAAUAAAAUAAACCAGAUGAUUAAAUUGUAAUUUUUCGGAAAUUUUAUAUAAAAAAAUUUCGAUGAUGUAAUAAGUACGAUAUCCAUUUCUUUUGUGCUGAUUCCUCCAAUUUAAUUUCUCAAAAUUUCCUCUUUACAGUUUCUCCAAACAAGGGGCGAGAGAAGAGACCAAAUUGCUUUACAAUUUACAAUGAAAUUCUCAGCUAACCCACUCGCUCUGAGCGUCCCAGACGCUGCCUUCGAAUCAUGGCUUCGCGACUCCGGCUACCUCGAAAUCCUCGACCACCGCUCCUCCUCCUCCCCCUCCUCCACCGCAACCACUACCACCGUUUCUGCCACCUCCAGCACUCCCGCCACCGCCACAAUAACUGGUGGAUUUUUCGUUUUUCUCUUCUCCCGUAUCCUUACCCUUCUCUCUCUAUUUACUCUUAACCCGCUCUCUAAGCUCACUACCGAUGAUUUCUCCGGUCAAACACCCUCCUGGACCUGCGCUUUUUUAGGGGACUGUGGGUCCUAUUCCUUCCCUUCCGGUACUGACCAGGCCAGGCUCCGUGUUCAUGAGAAUGUUAAGCGUUAUGCUAGGAACUACGCCUCUCUUUUUAUCCUCUUCUUUGCUUGCACUCUGUAUGUUCUCUCUCUUAUUAUAUUUUAUUUUAUUUUUUCCUUAAUAGCGAUUAUAUUCUGUUUGGUUGCCUAGAAAAAGAGUAAAUGAAAUUUAAGAAAAAUGUUGAAUUUUGGAUAUGCUUCUUCAAAAUUUGGCUUCUUUAUUGCUUUUUCUGUUUUCUCCUUACGAGUUCAUGAUUGCUCGGACGAAACAAAUGAAAAUUCAAUAUGGGUGCUUUCAUCACGUGAGCAGUCAUCUCAACAAUGUUGUUUUAGCUAAAUUGAGUAAGAAAAUAUUAUUGGAUUGGAUUGUAUCUCUGUGUUGGCCAUCUAAUCUUUGGAUUUAAUGUGACGGGGAAGUACAUAUUCAAUCAUUACUAGAAAGGGAAGACAAACAACAAACCAAUAUCUAUGGGCUAACCAUCUUUUAGGUGUAAUUGAUGAGCCGAGUUAUGGGUGUUCUUUUCUUCUCCUUUUCAUACUGGUCAAUCUUUUCUGUAUUCUGUUGCUGGGUUUCUAGGUAUCAGAUGCCACUUGCUCUCAUUGGCUUGAUAUCAAGUUUGGCACUUUGGGACAUUUUCAAGUUCUGCAGUGAUAAAUGGGGAUUGGAUCAAUACCCUGUAACUAGGCAGGUUUUGCUUCGCACUGCUCAAUGUGGUGAGUGAUCAACUCUUCUUACUUCUGGUCUUUUAUGAUUAUUUUUGCACUAGGAGUCCAUCCAUGUCUGAUCUUAAGGUACUUCAGAAGUUUGUGUGUGCAAACUGUGUUUACAACAAAAAAAAAAGCAUACUGCUCUUGUGAUACACAGACAUUGAAACUCUGUCUUAUUUUAUUUUAGUUUAUUUGAUAGAAGAAAGAUGCUGAUCUUAAUUAAUUGUUUCAACUUUUAUCAUCUAUUUUCGUGUGACCAAAUAGAUCAUAGAUAAGUAAAAAAGGCAUUUCAAAAAAAAAAAAACUCCACAGGAUUUAACUUAUAUGUAAUCUGCAGUAACUUUGUUUUUUUGGGUGCUUUGUUAGAGUUGUCCCAAUAAAUACAGAAAAAGUAACUACCAAGAAAAGGGAGGGAGAGAAAACAAAGAUCGUGAAAAGAUAGGGAAUUGAAACUACAAAAGACCUAUGGAGAAAACCCUACUUUAGGAUAAUGAAUUUAACAACCCAGAGUCAAGUUCACAAUGGCAGAAAUUUGGGGUAAUAUUUAUAUUAUUGUUCAGGAAUUAAUUGCUGAAUUGCAUACCUUUUGUGGGAUAUAGACAUGUACUAGGUUUUUUCUUUCUUAAAUCGAUAAUUGAAGUUUAGCAAAUUCAACUUAGAAAAAAUGAAAUGAAAAUUGAAGAAAAUCGUGUAAGAAUCCCCAGCCUACAGAACCAUUUGGUUUUGCCUAAAAAAAUUGAAGAAACUGCUUAAAUUGAGGCUGAUGUUGGCUACGGCUCUGAGGUUAUGACACCAACUUGGGGGGAGGGAUUUAUUGUCCUAGAAAGAAAAAAGACUAAAAUUAGAUAGGUGAAAAGUUAUGCUACCCAUGUAAUUUUCUCUUUUCUUUUUCACUUUAUUUUUUUCAAAUUUCAUACUCCCUUCUUUCUAUAAUUUUUAUCUAAUUUUUUUAUUAUCUCAAAAUUAUUGUCCACUUCUCUUUUUACACUAUAGUAACAAAUAAAUUGAUUAUUAUAAGCCUAUUUAAUUUUAUCUUAUUUUCAAGAAAUCUCUCAAAACAUCUCUUAGUAUCUAAUAAAAUUUAAUGUCUUUAAAAUUGGUAUAAUUAGGAAGUUAAUAAAAAAAUUGUCUUGUGAAAAAAUAAAGUGAACAAAAAUUAUAAGACGGGGAGUAAUAUAUUUUAAUUAAGUCAACCCACGUGUCAAGUGAUUGACAAUGGGAAGAUAUUUUUUGAACUUGCAUCUAACGUACUGAGAUAUAUCUUUCAUUGCAGCAACUGCCGUUAUUCUUAUUUGUUUAAACGUUCAAAUGGCUCUCUUCUGUGCCCUUGGUGUGAGCUAUGCAGGUAAUAAUUUAUGUUUUCCCUAUUUUAAAUGAUGGGAGAAGCCUGACUAGCUACCUUAUCCACGCAGUAACUUUCCUCUUCCUCCAGUUAAGCGUUAUCUUUUGUAUUCCUUUGUAGUUAUGAUUUUGCAUGCUGCAUUUCGGAAGCUGACACCAGCAAAACUACCUUCUAGGCAAAGAUAAAAUGGGAUAAAUUUUUCAAAAUAGGCAGAGAGAUUAUUUGGUAAUUCGGCUUCAAGUGGAGAUACUCACCGCGAGAGAACAACAGGUCCUGUCCAUUCUGAUGUCAAAGGUCUAUUAAUCUUGCAGAUGGCAGUGGCCAGUAAAGCACUGUGACAAUCCAUUAUAUAGUUCCAAGUUCACUUGUACUGUGAAAUUACAAAUUAUUGAUUAUAUAUAAAUAUUUUUGUCUCUGUAGUAUCAGGUGUGGGGAAAAGCCUUGGAAACUAAAACAGUUUGGUACAUUAUCGUGAGAUAGCCUAGCCUCAUAAGAAUGCUUUACUGCUGCUCUAAUGAAGAUUGAAAUUAUGAUCCUAUGUAAUGCUGCAUUCUUGUUUAUAUGAUGGAAUUGCUUUUGAAGCUCCAAUUUGCCCAAGCUCAAUAAAGACGACUCUCUUUCUAGGACUUGGCAAAGCUAUUGCGAUGUUAUAUUCAGCCAGUCUGCUAAAAUUUUGAAAGAAUCUUUAAGAAUAUAUGUGGUUUACCUUUCGAUGCAAGCUAAGCCAAUGGUUGAUUAAUAUAUAAACAGCCUAUUUUAUCUUUUUAAUGUUUCUAAAAUAAAUAGCUUAGCUUUUAAAAGUAACGAGUAGUAUAAUUUCAAUAAAUUAUAAUUUACCUAUAAUUUUAUAUAUCAAAAAAUCAUUUAUAAUAGAAAUAAAUAAACAAUAUUUAAAUCAGUUGUUUAUUUUUGUAUGUAUAAAACAUUAUAAGUACAACAUACGCUAUCAUUUAUUAUCAUAUAAUAAUAAUAAUUAUAAUAAUUAAAAAAACACCUAGUGGGAGGAAAGAUGUUAUCAGAUCCAAAUAAUUCAGUCAGUGAGAUAAAUGUUAAUAACAAAAUAUUUUACCAAAAUGUGUUGAUAAAUACAAUUAUGUUAUAUGCUAAAAUUACAUUGUUACUAUAACAUUAGCAAACCCCUAACUAUACAUCAAUUCAGCCCAGCAGAAAAAAGAAAAAAAUAUAUAUAUAUGUAUAUAUAAAAAGUAAAAAAUAAUUAUAGUAAUAUAUAUAAAAAAUAAAAUAGAUAUCAAAUGCACAAUUUCUUACAAUGAUAUGUACAUCAAAUCUCAAAGAAUGCACAAAACAAAACAAAACACGCUACAAAACAAAGUUAUAAUUCCAACUCCAAAGUCCAACCCCUUUAUGUUGGAUGUGAAACUUGGCUUUGCCAUCUGCAUAAAAGAUAAAGUGGCCAUCGGCAAAUUUCAUGUUAAACUGUGUUCCAAUAUCAGAAGAUUUUCAGUAAAAUCCAAAGAGAGCAUAAAUAUUCUAGAGACACUUGGUAUGACGUAAAAGAUAGCCUUCUUCCUAAACUUUGAAACAUUGUCACUUGACCAACCUUGAGAGUAGAAACCUCGCAAGAGGGCUUAAAUUGGCAUUUGAAUUGUACUCCUUAUUUUGUUGCUUCUUCCUGUUUUCAGCUUCUGCAGUUGCAUUUUGUGUUUCUUCAGGUGCUGCCUUGCCCUUAGAGAACAGCCGAGAUGCUAACUCCUGUAGAUCUUUCAUUGAAGGUUCCUUUGAACUGCAUAAAACCCCUUCCACUUUAGUAACUUUUACUACCAUAAGCAAAUAUUUUAACUAUUACAGGAUAAGGGACUAAUGAAAAUUUUGAUAUAAAUUUAAUAUUUUGGGGAUUCAAGAAAAACUUAUAAACCUUGAUAGACGCUGAAGCAAACUCCUAACCAGGAGAUCAGCUGAUCCAGGCUUCAUCAGCUCCAUAUUUACAAGUGAAUUUCUAACAGCACGCAACAUUGAUCCUUCUGAGUCAUCACCAACAGCCUAUAUUGUAGAGAUGGAGCUAUUACAAGGGGUAUAAAGCUGAGAGCUUCUAAAACUAUGGGAUACUCCUAUAAAGAAUAAAGAUGAGAUGGUUGCUUUCUUCUUUAUUUCUGGAUAAAGAUGAUUAAAGAUUUCUGGAUAAAAGCAAGAAAGUGCACGUCAUCUCAUGUACAAAAGACACAUCUAUAGUUUAUUAUAUAAGCCGCAUGAAAUGGUAAAAGGUAAGAAAUAAAAGCAAAAAAUACUGAGUGAUGUAAUUUAUAUGAUGUGAAUGGUAAUGUGGUGGCUCACCUCUUUUAAUGAUGGCAUAAACAAAACUGAUAAAGGUGCUGAUGAAGAAGCUAUUCUUGCACUUGCUUCAUCUUCACUUGCUUGGCGUGAUCUUGGAAAUGCUCUUUGUGCAUCCAAGUAGUCACGAGAACUUCAGAGAAUAUGCAAUAUCUUUAGAAUGUACAAGAAACUUUCUUUUUGUUAGUGGAUGAUCAGCUGCAUGUGGAAAAAUAUGUACCUGGACGAAUCAGAAGUGUUUGUCAUUUGCUCUCUUCUUCUGUUUUCAUGGCCAUCAUUGUUGAGCUUGUUUAGAGCAGACCUUUCUCUGGCAUUGCCUUUCCGUAAUCCUGCUUGCAUUGCAGCUUUUGCCUACACAGCAAUUGACCAAAGAAGCUUCUCAAGAAAAAGCAUGUUGACGAGUUUCAGAUUUGAAAGUGCAGCAGUGAUUUCAGAUUCCAUUGAACAUGAAACAUUUAAAAAAAAAACAAAUAAAUAAAUUCAAUACUAUGUAAAUCAAUGGUAAAAAUUUCAGAAGAGUUCAGCAAUAGAUUCCUAACAAAAUUAGAGCACGGGGCAGCAAAAGAAUUUCAAAAAUGAAUCACACAGAAAGUCAGAGAUACACCAAAGAUAGUUGCAAAGAUUAACUCAGGAAUAUAAGAGCAUGUUUAGUUAUGGAAAAUAUGUCUGUUUUCUAAAAAUAUUUACUUGUUUUUCAAAAAAUUAGAAAAUGUGUCCAUUUAAAAUUUUUUUACUCUAAUUGAAAAACAGAAAAUAAAUUUUCUAUUUUCUAAAUUUUAUAAAGGAAAUGGAAGACACUGAAAUAAUUGUUUUUCAUAUUUUCUUCAUCAUAGUGGAAAAUUGAAAAAUGGAUACACUUUACACAAGUGAAACACAGCUUUUAAUAAAAUUUUCUUUUUAUUUUAAAUUAAUACAAAAUGCAUGAAUUUUUCUCUUUAUUUUAAAUUAAUAUCAAAAUUAAGGUGGGGAGUAUUAUAAAAAAAUAAACACAUUUUCUGAAAAAAUAAUGACAAUUUGAAUAUAUUUUCUAAUUUUUCAAAUUGAAAAUAAUAUUUAAUAUUACAUGAAAUGAACACGUUUUCCCAAUUUUCUAAGGAGAACAAAACAAAGAAAAUGAAAAUAAAACUGAAAAUAUUAUGUAACUAAACGCACCCUAGGUGUCUCCAAUUAAGAAAUGUAGAAUAUAAACUCAACAUGAUGCAAAGAUUCUGACAACUAAGGAACAAUGUUUGCCAAGCACCUAACAGAAAUUAGCAAGUAAUGGAAAUAACCUCAGCAAGAUUUACUGCACUGUCUUCCAGUGAGGCACUUGAAGUUCUCUCUUGUAUUCCCAAUAUGGACUUUGGAGUCAAAGGAGAAUCAGAAUCAUGAUGUUGGCCACGGAAGACAACAGUUCCACUAGAAGAAGCAUCUUCAAAAGACCCGACUGUGCUACUGGACUAUAAAAAAGGAUUAUAAUCUGAUCAAAUAAAAGAGCUGCGAAGGGGAAGAAUAGCUAUAUAUUCUCAACAUCCUUUUUACAAAAACUGGACGGGAGUCAUACCAGAUUGCUUUGAUCUCGAAACACGGUAGAUGAUUGAGAGCCUCUGGGAGUCCGUAUAACAACAGUUCCUGACCCACUUACUGAUAAUUCCUCCUGAAAUUGAGCAUACAAAGGUAGGAAGUUUAAUCAACAAAGUUUCAGUUGGCUGAGUUGUUUGUGAGUAUAUACGCCCAGCAAACUAAAAACUUGCUCAAAUUUUCUUUCUAGUUAGCAGCAGACAAAUACUGGACUGGAGAUGGUAGAUCCUGGUGAUAUCACAAAAUCGCAGUAUAAUUGUGAUGGUAUGAAAAUAUUUCCAAAGAAUACCUUGGCUUGUGCUUUAAGCAGGUCCCUUUUGUAAUCUUACUGAUAGGGCAGCUAACAUCUCAAUAUUGAGGAAAUGUUAACUUCUGAUUUUCUUUCUAACUCUAAUUACUCCACAAAAACACAUGCAAAAUAUUGCUACAUCAUUCAAUUGAUAACAAACGAAUCAUUGUGAGGAAGAGAGAGAGAGAGAGAGGCUGCUAAGGCUUACGUAAUCAUGAGAAUUAUCCUGAUGUUCAUCAUGAUGUGUACCCCUAGCAUCUUUACCAAAUGAUAUUUCUGGGGAUUCCUCAAGGGCAUUUCCAGAUGCAGACAACAAAUCACCACUCUCCGUUGGUCUGGGGGUAACCUUAUUGUACGAAAUUUCUGUUUUCUUUUCUCUAACCUGAGGAGAUCGAACAGCACUUCUUAUGGUUCCAGUACUCUGUGAUCCACCAAUACUGAAGUCCCACCCAGCAUUUUUUAAUGGCUUUCCCUGACCACUGCAAAUUAAACCACACUACCAAACUAUAACACCUCCUUUUAGAUCAGAGUAAGAAUAGAUACUACACAAGCAAUUGUAAUAAACAAAUUCUAUCCACCUGGCUCGAACAGUUCCCUCAUCUCCCACAUCUCUGGUCACUUUCACAGUGCCGGAUGACUGUGCCACUGCUCUUGGACCAUUCCUGGGGGUUUCUGCAUCCUUUAUUUGGUACUUUGGACGCUCUCUGUCAAGAUAACCAGACUGUAAAUACUGUGAUUUCAGCACCAAAAAAGAAGCUCCAACUAAACACUUUCAGUCAUGGACAACAGAAAUUUCAGGUUUUCCAUGCGCAAGCAAAUCAAUCACAUAAUGAGUUCUCUCAAAGCACCUUGUGUGCAUUGGCAUGGCAUUGUCGUUUAUUGGGGGAAUCAAGGAUUAGCGAAACAUUAAAAAUAUUGGUACGCAAUUCUUUUGGGCCUUUAUUAACCCCACUUAACUUAUUAAAAAAAAAAAACAUUACAGUGUGCAUUUUGAUUUAAAUAGGUGAAAGGGCUCAAAUUUGGAUGUUUUGAUUUUGCAAUCUCAUUUACCAAAUAUACACAGGGGUUUCCAUUCUUACUUCAUUUAAAAUAAACUUACUUUAUUACAAAAACAAAUUAAACUUCAUAGAAAUUAUAUAUUGUUUAUCAUAACAUAUCUAUUUUUUAAAAUAAUCAUUUUACAGAUAAUAUGUGAAAUUAUAUUAAUAACAUUAUUAUUUUUUAUUACAUUAUUUAUAAAAAAAUAUGUUAUUAUCUUUAUGUAAGAGUAAAUGUUUUUUAACAUUUCUUAAAACAUCACUAAUUGUUAUUGUUUUAAUUCUCAAAACAUCACUAAUUGUUAUUGUUUUAAUAAUUUUUCAUAAAACAGUUACUUCUCGAAAUAUAUAUCAUUCUUUUAUAAAUCUAUGAAAUAUGCAUACAAAUAUCAAAGAUUUUAAUUUUAAAAAAUUUGACAAAAAUUUAUAUUUAUAUGUUCUUUUGAAUUAUUAUCAUUUUUCCAUUAAAUUUUAUAUUUUCCAUAAUAUGAUUUAUUGCGAAAAAUAGAUUCAUUUUAUAAAAAUUAAGUAAAAUAUAAAAUUUUCUCGUAACAAACUAAUUAUUACUUUGUUUUAAAUAAAGUGACCAUAACAGUCACCUAUAUAUAUAUAUAUAUACAUAUAAUAUUGAUUGUUGUUAUACUUGAAGUUCAUUUUAUUUGUUAAUACUUUCUUUUCCAACCCCAGAAAUUGCAAAGUGAGAUUAGGAAUCAAAUUUGUGGGUUAUAAUUAUGCUUUAGGAAUCCUUGUACCUAAUUUCAUAUAGUAUACACUUGGCUUGUCACAUGAAACUAAUUUCAUAUUUCCAUAUGUGAAAAUAAUUAUGAAGUCAAAUUUUCACAUCAAGAAUUAUUUAUAGAUGAAGAGAUGUCAUUGGGCUUUUUAUUUGCCAAACAGAACAUAUAACAAGUAAGCCUUAAUCUCUGCAGUACACAGACAUGCAUACACACACACAGAUAUACAUAUAUAUAUCCCAACUGAAAAAUUAUAUGGCUCCAUCCCUGCUCAAAUGCAUCGUUGUCAAAGGUAUGCCUGAACUACAGUGCACUAAGGCCCUACGUCUUCUGCCUCAAGUUGACACAGGUGACACACUAUGACAAGGAGUCGAGAAUUUUAACUAGUACCAUCAUUUUAAACUUAUAAAAGUGGAGUGUGGAUUUGGCUUUAACAAUGGAUGUUACUAAAAAUGCCAAUAAAAGAAACACUUAAAUCGAAUAAACUCUCAGCAAGUAAAUAUCCAAUAACCUAAACGCCCUUUCUCCCUUCCAAUCCACCUGAUCUCUUUUUUCCAAUAGGAGCUUGAAGAAUAGAAUUUGCAGAAUGUUACUAUGCUGAUUUAGUUAAUACUAGUCAAGAUUCUAAUUAGUUUUUCUAGAAGUAGCUAGAAUAGCAGAAUAUUGGGAUCCACUAUUUUGAUUGUAGUGUCUGUUGAAAUAUGCUCACUUUUGAAAAGACUUUUUCCCUUUUUUUUACAUUCAUGUGUACAUGACUCUUGUUGAACUAGUCUUAGUAGUCAUCUUCUUUGCACCAAAAUAGCAUGAGAAAAAUUUGAAACAUGCAAUUAUGAUCUUGUGUUGAUGUGUUUUGCAUUUUUACAACCAGUUUGUACUUUGACUUCAGUCGAAUUAAUCUUAGUAAUUCAUGGUGUCUCAUAAUAGAUUUUAGCACGCUUCGCAUUCAGUCAUUUCAACUUAAUAAACUGAAAAGUAUUAUAUACAUAUUUUAGGCACAUGCACCUUUCACCUAUGCCCUGUGUAGUGUGUAUACAGCUUAUGUCUUUGACAACUAGCUUAUGUUAGACAGGCUGGUGCAGUGCCCAAAUUCCAAAGGCUCACUAGAAAAUAAAAAAAAUUGAAAUCAUAUUUCCAGAUUAAGAAUGAAUAACGGGUUACAGCAUGCACCUUAUUCUUUCUAGAAGUCUUGGGCUCUUCCUAGCAUUUUUAAUAAAACGGUGCUUCAAAAGCUCCUUAGCACUUGGCCUCUGAAAUUAAAUUGAUAAGACUAAAUUACAAGAAAGUAUGAAGUAUGCAUAAGAUAAUCAUGAAACAAAACAAGGAUAAAUGUUUAAAAAACUAAAAGAAUCAAAGAGGUAAGAAGCAAAAAGUGCCAUACAAUCAAUAAAUGUUAAUUAACAUGAGUACUACUUGCAUAAAAGUUGAGAAAAAACCACAGAUCACCUUCAAAUCUCAACUAUAAUAUUAUUUUCAACCAUUAGUAGAGGGGUUUUCAUCAGUGCAGGUUGCCUAAGCAAUAUGCAAUUAUUUUAUCAAAUGAAUUUUGAACACUUCAGUCACUUCAGCCUAAGGUUCUCAAAUGACUAGGCAUAUGUACUGUAUAGUAACUCCAAUAGAACACAAAAUUUUGCAAUAUAAAAUGAUUCAAAAGCUAAAGACUGGACAUAGUCACUUCUGGUCUUUUAGGGAUAGGUGCCCACAGCACACUUUUGGACUAAUCAUUUGUGUAACCUACUGUAGUCACUUCUAUACCAAGGUUCUAUAAGAAUCAUUGCACCCGGAAUUCUUGAAUAAAAACUAGAGAAAUUUCUGUCCAAUUUUACUUUAAAACAUCCAUGUUUAACUUAUGACUCAACCAUCUGAGAAAUGAAUGAUUCUAUCUCUAUAAGGAUUUCAUUGCUCAGGGAAACUGUUAAACAGGUAAUAUUGGGUUCCUUUUCAAUCACUUCUUCCAUGUCAAAUUAUUCAUUUCCAGUUACCGAGCACAAAAAGAUGGAGGAGAAUUGUUGAACUAGUACAAUAAAGACAAAAUGCCACGAGAGUGGUCACAAAAAGAACAAACAGCCAUAUGCAAUUUAUUGGAUACGCAACUCUUUUAGGCUUGUAGGUAAAUGUAACUUUUAAGUGAGUUACCAUAUAAAAAUCUACGAGGACAAAGUCAAUUUGGUCGUGUUGCUCACAACUCAAGUAUUUCUCCUCAAAUACCUAUCAAUGUUAUUGGAAGCUUUUAAGCUUGCGCUAGAACCAACUAUUGAGUAGAAUGGUUAAAAAAAAAAACAACUGACUUUUUGACUGAUACAUGUGAAUCCAAUCCAACAAUCUAAUUCAAUUUUGAAAAAUAAUUGGUCUGACAUGUGAAUCCAACCCAGCAAUCUACAGGUCCCAGGAUCAAAUUCAGUUUUUAAUAAAUAACUGGAUGGCAACUCUCGAGAAUUAAGAUACAUUAAAAGGAAGAGCCUUCUUUUGUUUUCUUUCCAUUUUAAAAAUCUACCUUUCUUCAGGUCCAAUACAUCAGCUUGAACACAAGUAUGGCUUCUCAUUCGACAUCCAAAUACAAAUAAACAAAGAAUCCAAUCCCAGGAACCAUAUGCAUGGAGUUGACACACGGGUAUGGAUCCAAAGAUCGUACUCUUCAUGAUCCCACUGUUUUAUGAGUAAAUAUUUUAGGAUUCUUCUUGGAUUCAUUAUAUUACUGGUGUGUGGCUCUCCGUCAAUGUGUAGGGUCAAAAAUUUGAAGUUGUUCAUCUAAUUUAUCAUUGCUGAAUUACAACCUUAAUCUGAAAUAUGCCGGUUGAAGGAAUAUCAACCUUAAUCUGAAAUAUAUCCAACCCAAUCAUUGUGUCCUGAUGAGUGGGAAUAUAGCAGGGCUAUGUCAUAAAAUUUGGGCAAUGUCAUCUGAAGUGGAUAGCCUAGGCUAAAAUGCAAAGGCUAUGUAACUUUAGCUCAAGAAUGCAAUUCCAAAAUCCAAAUGCAAACCGUCUUGUCUCCAUUAUCCACAGAAUGAUAUCCAAAAGAAGCAGAAACUAGAACACUUAUACAGGAGGAAUAAGUACUUGCCUCAGCAGGAGCUUUCUUUAAACACAAUGAAACAAAUUCUUUGAUUGGACGAGAAAAAUGCUCAUCGAGCUGCACAAGAAACACAGAAUGUUGAUUCUCUUAAACUGUGAAGAAUGAUACUUCCAUCUGACAAAAGAUAUCAAUAUUCUAAAUGAAGUAAUAAGUAAUUAACCAGUUUGAUAUCAAAGAACUUCUAGAAAACCUGUGGGGGAUUUUCUCGAGGUAUGAUAAAAAGGACCUUCAUAGGAUAAAGAUCUGCAAGGGGGGGUUCCCCCUUUGCCAUCUCGAUGGCAGUUAUACCCAGUGACCAAAUAUCUGCCUGCAUGAUGCAAAAGGUCAAUAUGCAAUAGACAUUUAUUGGGCUAGACAGGUUUCUAAAUAGAAAUUCUCAGUAAUAAUUUAGAAGAAUUACCUUCUCAUUGUAUCCCUCUGAAUUUUGAAUUACCUCUGGCGCCAUCCAGAAUGGAGUUCCUACAAAAGUCUGUAAUUACAAACCAAAUUAGCAAUUUUCCAUUAAAUUCCAUUAUCAAAUUAGAAAAGUUAAAAGCAUUUCAAACAUUAAGAACUACUGACUUCAAUUUCUAAAAAAAAAAUAAAAAAUCCCUAUGAAACAUCUCUGCUCUAAAAUGGUCAUAUCAUAUAAGGAAUGCAUGAUCAGAUGGGCAAGCCAAGACCUGUAAAAUUCCAUCUUCUAAAUCAUUAUUUCACAAUAUUCGAUACUCAGUACUUAAAACAGUUUAUGAAGCUUAACUUCACAAAAACAUAAGAACAUAGCUUUCAGCUUUGUGCUAAACUACUAUUUUGUAGUAACCAUUAUUUGACUAACCUUUUAAGAGAAUUUAACUGAUAAGCAACACACAUUCACAGACACACAAUUGGAAGCAUGUGCACAAGAAAAAAAAAAUGAUUUAGACAAGGGGGAAAAACUGUCAUAUCAAAAAGGGAAAGAAAUAGUUAACCACUCCAGUCAAUUCAGUUUUUAUUCAUACUUCAUGCACCUAACAGUUAAUCCAACCAACUAAGGUUUCAACUUCACUAUUAUAAUAUUAUAUAUUCUGCAUUAAUAAUAGUAUAAUAUUUAUGAAUAUCACAAAAAUAUUUUAAUUCACAUAUUUGAACUUCAAAUUUUUCUGUCCACUCAUUUGUACAGAUGAAGGAUCUAUCUCUUGUUGGCUUCAAAAUCUAAUAUCACCUCCUGUGGUUAAAUAAGGAAGGAGGCACAGCAUCCAUUGUUAUCUGUGUGGAAAAACAAAAAGGAGGCAGGUAACUCCUUUGAGAUGUAACCAAUAUGGGACAAAUUAUCCGACAUUAAAACAUGUAAAGGAAGCAGAGACUCCUCUUCAUAUAAACAUAUAAGCCCCCAUCUCCCUUCAUACUUCUGCACAAGCCCUGGUUCAAGGCUUCUGCUCCUUAGGAGAAGCCUCAAUGAAGUGGCACUAUUAUUUAAUUAGUUUAAAUUUUUCAAGGUUUUGGUGAACCAGCCAAUAAAAAAGUUGUUCGGUUUUGCUGUAUAUGAAUGAACCAAGAUUAUUGUUUUAGUUUGCAGAAGAGGUAUACAAUUUGAAAUAGACACACCUAAUCCUUAUUAAAAGCUAGCUAGAGACAAUGAGAAACAGGUCGUCAAAUGAGAGGCCUAACUAUAAUGCUAUAAAUUAAACAUAAAAGUUAUACCAUGUCACAUCAAGAUGUCCACUUUUUAUCACAUCAAGAAUGAAGCUUAGAGGAAAAGAUGUAGUACCUUUCUCCUAGAUAUUGUUCUUGUUAAUUGGGCAGAAACACCAAAAUCUGCAACCUGUCACAAGGACAUAAUUAUAACUUGGAAUACUAAAAGUGCAAGCUCGUAAAACCUGUUGCAUUACUGCAUAUCCUUCUACAUUACUCUUAUAAAUAAUUCAGGAGAUUUUUACAUGCAAUUGAGAAAAAGGAUAUACCUUAACAUCGCCAUUCUCACCCAACAAAAUGUUUGCGGCUGCAAAAAUUAUAAUAUUAAUGUUACCACUUGAACAAUAAAUUUAAAGCAAGGCAGGCAAACUAGAGCAAAUAACACACGGGUGAAGCCCCUAAAGUAAGCAAACAUAUGAUUUACACAAGUCCAAUUUAACCAAAUGUUCAAAGUAAUUUCAACAAUAUCUAAAUGAUAAUGAGAUUCAAUUAUGAUGGGAGAGGGAAAAAAAACCUUUAAUAUCUCUGUGAAUUUUCCCUUCAUUGUGUAAAUACUCAACUGCAUGCAGCAAGUCACGCAAAAUACAAGCAAUUGACAUUUCAUCUAGGGGAGGACCUGACUGGAUCUGCAAAAAAAAUAAAUAAAUAAAUACUAGAUCAAUGAAGUAACCUACUAGAUCAGCAACUGAAGUAACCUACGAGAUCAGCAACUGAGCCGCCAGCCAUGUAUUCCAUUAUUAUCCAUAAUUUAGUUUGGUUAAGAUAAGAACCAUAGUACUCUGUAAUAUAUGGACAACGGCAUUGUGACAGAACUGAAAUUUCCUGACAUGAAAAUCAGAUACAUGAGUAAUGUAGUCAUUUGGCAAUUUCACACAUAAUAAAUUAGACAGGCAAGAAUAUAAAGUAAUACCUUCUGAAUGUCCUCAAUUUCAUCCUCACUACAGAAGCCAAAAUCAAAAGCCUAUUAGGAAUAUCAAAUAACAAUAUCCAAAUAAAGACUAACAAGUGAUGAAUGUGUCAUGUACUAUAAGAAUCUUGCACUGCUUAGUCAAAUCAGCAUGUGACUAAGAGUGGCUUCAUUGAAAUCAUAUCGCCAAAUUUUUGUUUUUAUGAUUUUAUAUAAUUUUAAUAUAGUAAUAUUUAUUUUUCAUUUAUUAUUGUAAAAUUUUAAUUUUAAGCUUUUGUUUAUUACAUACAAUUGAAAAUUAUUAUUUAAAUUUUAAAUUAUUUAAAAUAUUUAAAAUUUCAGAAACUUAUUUUAAUAAUUUUUUAUGUUUCUUAUUAAUUAUAAUAAGAAGCAUUAUUAUUAAUUUUAUAAUAUUUAUUUAAUAAUAUUACCAGUUCAACUGUAGUUCGACCAUGAUUGAACCUUGAACCCUUAAUCAUUGGCCCUCACUGGUUCUUUGACCAGGCCGAGUUUAAAUGAAGUGGUAAAUAUUGAAUAACAUGCGUCUAGAAUACAAACAUCAAAAAUAAGCAAGGGUAUAUACUUACGAUUCUUCCAAAUCAAUGACUUUGAUAGCAACUUCUUUGUUAAGCUCCUUAUCAAACCUAAAUAUCAAAGAAUGCAUCAGGAACGCCAGGUUAGAAGGCAACCAAUCCUCAGAUUGUAACGACAACACACAGUAUUUUGGGAAUAAGAACAGCUUGAAAGAUGGACAGUAAUGAAUCAAGAGUUAUAAAGCCCUGUAAUGUUCAACAUAAUUAUGGAUACAUAGUAUCACAGCAACAUUUUUAGAUUCUGAUAAUGUAAUUGGUUUCUGUUAAAAAAUCUUCAUUGUGCAGUUUAAUCAUCUUAAACAAUCAUAUAACAUAACCCACAUUUAAGGAGCCUGCCAAUGGAAACACAAUUCUUGAAAUAAAACAUUCUUUUGACUAAUUUGUGCUUUUCCUUCUUUCAAUACCACUGCAGAAUUUCAAAUGCAAAAAUCACUAUCGACAUUGCAAGUGCAUUACAAUUUACAACAGAAGUACUCAUUACUUAUAUUACUAAGGAAUAUAUAUGGCAAAAGAAACAUGUGUUUAUAAAUUUUACAGUAAUCUUGCAUAUGAUUAUCAGCACGAGAAUGCAAAUUCAAAUGAUGCGCUUUAAACAAUUAAGAGCAGACUACAAUAGUUACUAGCUCCCGUAACAAACAAAUAUGAGCACUGAAAAUGAUUUAAUCAAUAAAUGGCCUUGAUCAAGGAAUACUUACGCUUUGUAGACAUCACCGAAUGAUCCUCUCCCAAUCAACUCCAAGGAGCUAAAUCUAGUACCAGCUGCCUCCAUUAACCCUGCUGCAUCAGCCAUUUCUACACCAAGCAAACACCUUUCCCUACACCCACUUUACCCACCAAUAUAAUCAGCUACACCCACUUUACACACCAAUCCAACCCAAAUAAUCUCCACAUUACCCGCAUUCUCCAAAAACACAAUUCCAAUUUACAGCACCAAAUCCAAAUAAGUCAAGAAGGGCCUUUACCAAUCCAUACUUUGUCCUCAAAAACCAACUCUGCGUCAUGAUUUGCGGCAACCCAUUAAAAAAAUACAACAUAAACGCAAAUCUACCACAACUGAGAUCUAUAAAACGGGAAAAUUAUAUAUACAAAAAUGCGUUUGAGCAAUGCAACAGAGAUAUUUUACACUCAAAGCAAAAGCAAAUGGAAGAUGGUGAUAAAGCAAUUUCCAAGUUGUAAACAAUUGGGUUCUGUUAGGUGAAGGAGAGUGAGAUAUGCUACAGUGACAGACCAACAGAAUCCCAAUGCAACAAAAGACUUGUAGCAAUGAUAGCUAAACAACAACACACACGUGGCUUCAAAAUUGGGUUUCAUUUUAGCGCUUCGCUUCUGUUCGAUGGAUAAAUAGAGAUUAAGAGAUUUGGGAAUCUGUUUACCUGUUAAUAUCGAGAAGAGAGGUCUACAGAGACCUCCAUAGAUCCUUCUCUUAGGAUUUUUCUCUCCCCAAAAGAAGAAGAGAGCAAGUUUUCUCUAUCUGUCUUUGUCUUUAUGUCUAUAUCUGGCCCUCGUUGCAGAGAGGUCGUGAGAGCUACAAGGGAUCGAGAUAGAGAGAGAGAGAGACUCUUGUGCUGUGUGAUGUUUAAUGGAAGUUUUAUUGGCUGUUUAUUAUUUCAUAAAUAACUCCUAAUUCUUAUUAAUUACACUUCUAGACAGUAAUUUAAGGAUAAAUUGUAUUUUGAUCCUCUAAUAAAAUUACUCAAUUUUAAUUUAAAUAAAAUAAAAAAAUGGAAAUGCACAUUGCUAACUAUGUAAUUUUAUAAAUAAUGUUAGAUUUUUUAGAAAUUAUUAUUUAAUUAUUUAAUAAUUUAAAGUAAUAAACAUUAUUUAUUGAAAUAUUAAUUAAAAAAUAUUUUUUAAAAUAAAAUUUUAUCGCUAAUUUUAAAGAAUAAGAAUUACAUUUUAAUAUUAAUUAUAAAGUAUUUUAAAUAUAAGUAUCACUAGAUUUCUUCUAUCACACUUUAUGAAGAAUAUUUAAUAUUUUUUAAAACAUUAUUUAAAAUUUUUAUUGAUAGUUUUAUUAGUUAAGAAAAAUAAAUUAAAACCUUAAAAUUAAGUUUAUUUAAGUUGAAUUUGCAUUAAUUAGUUAAAUAUAAUUUAAAGUAAUAAAAUAAUAUAAAAUAGUAAUAAUUAAAUUAUUAAAUUAAAACUUUAUUUAGAUACAUAAAAGUGAUAAAAACAAAAUUGGAGAAAAAUAUCUAAAAUUAUUACUAAAUUAGUGUAGUUUAUUUUGAAAUAAAAUUAAAAUUAUAUGAGUUUGUUAAAAUAAAUUAAAAUUAACCUGUAUAAAUAAAAUAAAUUUUUAAUAUAUUUAUUUAUGAAAAAUAAAUUAUAUUUAAAAAAUAUUUUCUGUUGAAAAAUAUUUUUCAUGUAAAUAUCUUUUAAUAUCUUAAGUGAAAAUUUUUCCCCUUUCAAUGACCAAAAGGGAAAAUGUUCUCCCUCGGUUUUAAUUAGUUCCCUUUUAGACAUUUGGUCUCUUAAUAAUGUUGGCUUGGUUGUCAAACUUUACUUCUACGCAAAUCUUCUUUGUCAUCUUAUCAUCUGCAAAAUUACCAUUUGGUCAUUCAACCUUUAAAAUAUAUGAGUUUUCACCCCAAAACUUCUUAAAUGUUACUUUUUAAGUCCAAAAUAAUUGAUAAUCCGAUAGAUUGAUAAUUCCGCAAUUACAAACUAAUAGAAAUAUACUAAACUCAUAUCGAGAUUCGCUCUGCUAGGAAAAAGGCAAAUUUUCUCGGAAUGGAAUGUAUUUCCUACUUAUCAUUCUCUUGCACUAGAACUGGUGAUUGAUUAUUAUUGUAACAUCAAAACAUAUAACAAGCUAAUUAUUCAUUAUGGCGUUCCAGAAUAUAUGAUUUUUUUAAUAAAAUAAUUAUUUACUUUUAUUAUUUUCAUUUAAUACUAUUAUUCAAUAUAUGAUUUUUUUAAUAAAAUAAUUAUUUACUUUUAUUAUUUUCAUUUAAUACUAUUAUUCAAUAUUUUAAUUUUCUAAAUUAUAUUUAAAAUUAUUAUUUAUUAAAUUAUAAUUAAUUAAUAAAAACUAACUAUAUAUUAUUUUUUAUGGAUGAAAAUGUAUAUAAAAUUUACUACAAUUAAUUUGAAUUGAGUUGAAAUUAUUAUAACUAAUUUUUAUAAUUAUAUAAAAUUUUACUAAAGUUAUAUGAUACUGCUAUGACUAUUUAAUUAAUAUAUUACUAUUUUAUCAAAUAUAUAUAUAUAUAUAUGUAUAUAUUAAAACAUAUAAUUAUUAGAUUUUCAUUAAUAUAAGAUUUUUCAGUGGCUAUUUCUUUAUAAAAUAUAGUUUUUUAUUAACUUUAUACAUUUUAAAUUAUUAAUUUUAUUUUCCAUCUAUUUUAUAAUUUUUAUUCACUUUGCUUUUUUAUAUAUAUUAAUAAAAAAAUUAUUAAUUUUAUAAUUAUAUUUAUUUUAGAUAUAUUAAAUUUUAUUAAAUAUCAUAAAAUAUUUCGAGAAAUUUCUUAAAAAUAAAAUAGAAUUAAAUAGAGUUAUAAAAGUCAAUUUUUAUAUUAUUAUAAUAUGAAAAAGAAAAAUAAAAAAUAAUAUUAAAAUAAUAAAAAUAAAUAAAAAUUAUGAGAUGAAAAAAUAUUAAAUAAUAUUUCAUUAUAUUAUAUUUCUUUAAUAUAAUCAUGAUAUUAAAAUUUUUAAUAUUUAAAGCUGAUGACAAUAUUCAAAUAAUUUAUUUAGAUUCCAUCCUUAUAUUAUUGUAUUUUAAUUAUAUCUAUAAUGAAUUUUCAUGAAAUUUUUAUAAAAUGUUUAAGAGAUAAAAAUAUAUCAUUAUAGGAUAAUACUUUAUUCAAAUUAACUUAAAACUAUUGAUAUUUUUUCUUUUAAUUUUUUAUAAAUUAAUUUGAAAAAUGAAAAAUAAGAAAACUUAUUCAUUUAUCUAAUUUUUCCAAUUUUUCAUAUUUCAGUUUUCUUUUACUAUUUUUAAUUAAAACUUAUUUUUAUUACUUAAGGUACAUUAUAUUGAAAGAAAAAUAUUAUUUAUGUGCAACUGUAUAAAUAAUUUUAUGGGGUAAAUAUAAACUUUUAAUUUACGAUAACAUCAUACCUAAAAGUAAAUAUUAAAAAUAACUAUAACAAUUAAUUAAAAAAAUAAAGUGGCAUAAAAUUAAUUACUUUCAGACAACUUGCUUAUUUAUCUAUAAUUUUUUUUGUAACAGUGAAUUCUAUUGGAUAUCACAUAUAUAUAGACUAGGGGUGAGCAGUAUUCGGUUUAGACCGAAAUAACCAAUCGAACCGAUUAAUUUCGAAAAUUUAGUUCGGUUUUAUUUUUUUCGGUUCGAUUCGAUUUGAAAUUUUUAAAAAAUCGGUGAUUUCGGUUCGAUUCGGUUUUAGACGUAAAAAUUUCGAUUAGACCGAACCGAACCGAAAUCACCUAUACUACGUCGUUUUAAUAGUUCCCUAUUCCCUAUUUCCAUUCCCUUCCCUUCCCUUCCCUGCCCUAAAUCUAAAACAAAUUUCUAUCUCUUCGUGCGUGCCGCCAGUGCUCCUGCUCCAUCUUUAUCUCUGUGUUCAUCUCUGUGCUCUGCUCCAUCUCUCAUCUCUAUGCUCUGCUUCAUCUCUCAUCUCGCCGCGAGAUUCUCGCGCCUGUGCCUCCACUCUCCUCUCGACUGGACUGAUUCACCAUCGACGUCGGUCGUUGCUCUCUAUUGGCUCUCCACGCGUCGUCGGGCAGUGGACAAUCUCUCAUCUCUAUGCUCUACUCCAUCUCUCAUCUCGCCGCGAGAUUCUAGCACCUGUGCCUCCACUCUCCUCUCGACUGAACUGAUUCACCAUCGACAUUGGUCGUUGCUCUCUAUCGGCUCUCCACGUGUCGUCGGGCAGUCGGCAAUUUGGUCGUGCUUAUUCUACAGCCCUCAGUCCUCUCCGAGUAUCUAUGUCGCGUUUCCAGCCAUUCACGGUUGAAUUUGAGUAAACUGUAAAGGUAAGUAAAUAUUUAUGAUUUGCUGUUGAUUGUUGAAUUUGUGUACGUUUGAUUGUUGAAUUUGUGUGUUGAAUUUGUGUGCUGUUGAUUGUUGAAGUUGUGUGCUCUUGAUUGUAUCGAUUUAACCGAUCGAACCGAACCGAACCAAAUCGGUUUGAUUCGAUUAUCUCUCUUAUUUGGUGCGGUUCGAUUUAUGUAAAAUACUGCAAUUCGAUUUUCGAUUAUUUCGGUUCAGUUCUGAACCGAACCGACCGAAUGAUCACCCCUAAUAUAGACUAUAACAACUUUCAUCUGAACACUGAAUUCUAUUAAAAAUGGAAACAUGGAAAAAUAAUUUUUUGAAAAUUAUUAUUCUCGAUUAUAAUAAUAUUAAGAUAAUAAUUUUAUAAUAUUAUUACGAUACUGCUAUAUAAAUUUUAAUAUUUAGUAAUAUUAAAAUAAUACUUUUCAAAUAUUUUUUUAGGAGAGUAAGUGACUAAUAAUUAAAAGGAUCAAAAGUUAGUGGUUGAAAAUUUAUACUUUUCAAUAAUAUAUUUAUAUUUAUUUUUGUAAUUAUUUAAAAAAACUUAUAUUUACUGUGUAAUCCUAAUUAGUAUGACAUUAAUAUAUAAAUAUCAAGUCUUCUAUCUUCAGGAAAAAAAAAAAAGAACAUUCAUCUUUGUGGUUGAUGAAGAAAAUUAAUUACAGAAAGAACCAUGUACAUAUUUUAGAAAAUAAAAGCCAAGUCGAAGAGUGAUAAAAGCAGCGAUAUUUUAGAAAAUAAAAGAAAGAAUAAAACUUCGAGAGGGGUUUCUAAUUCCAUGAUUUUCAUUGUUUUCAUGAUUUGAGGUCUUUAAUUUCAAUUUUGGUCUACGGUUUACUUAGAAACUAAAAUUGAAUCGAAAUUUCGGUAUAUAGUUGAAUUUAAUUCCUUAUCAUUUUAGUUAUGUUUUAUUUCAAAUCUACAGUAAUAAAGUAAUGGGAAGGAGGAGCUACUCCUGCCAAAUGGGGCGGAAGUAGCCACCACACGGCGGAGAAAGUGGAGAGCUCUAGAAAGAAGAGGCAAAACUGAGAAAUUACAUCAAUGGUUGGAUUAGUGGACCACGCAUUGCUGGCCCGUUUUCGUUUAAGACCUGUUGCUUAAUUCCACCUGUAUGAAAAUAACGCUACUAGCUUUGGGAUUUCCAUUCAUCUUUUUCCAGUUUUGGAAUUCUCAAAAUUGAAGGAUUUUUUUUUUUUUAAAAAGAAAAAUAAUAUAUGGAUAAGUCUUGGAUGACUUUAAGAGGUUAAUUUUGUUGCUUAUUGGAGAAAAACAAAAGCAUACAUGAAUAAAACUCUCAUAUUUUAUUUUUUUUUGAAAUAGAGGUUGGGGGAGUCGAACCUUAGACCUCUCAAGACUACAAAGAUGCACUUUCCACCAGGUUAAGCCUCGAAGUGCAUUCUCAUAUUUUAUUUAUUUUUAUUUUUUAAAUUCAUACCUUUUAUAUUAUACGAGUUUUGAGUAAGAAUGAACUGUGGCAACAUUCUAUAAUUAAGUACAUACUUCUGCAAUGAUUGUGGUCUCUACACAGAUCUAACAACAAUUUCAAUGAAUUACUUAUUCUUUAUAUUUUUUAACAUUCCAAAAAAAAAAAAAAAAGAAAAAGUAAAACAACCCUCUGCAAUUCCAAAAUCAUUCAGAGGCUCUUAGGCACUUACAAGUAAUGAUUUUUUACAAGACAAAUCAUGGCAAAAUCAUUCCACAAACAAUUACUAAUAUCUUUUUAAUUUGUUAUAUAUUUAUAUAUGAUCUGAAAUGAUAACGCACUCUUUUAGAGAGCGAAAAAUCACUAUAGCUCCACACUUUUGGUUAUAAUUAGGAAAAAUUUACGAAAAUUUCCAACCAAUUCAUCAAUACUCUCCAAGAAAAAGAAACAAAACCACAACUAUCGAUCACAGCUUCACAAUUCCCUGCAGGAUAUCAUCUUUUGUUGAAGGUUCCAUGGCAUGGCACUCUCUACACGCCACCAAAAAUGACCUGAAAAAUCUCCGGCAAAUACCCGAUGACUUAUCUUUUUUCCCAUGUUGAUGAUCACCUUCUUUCUUUUUUAUCACCGCUGCAUUAUUUUUUCUCCUGGAAUCAUCACGUUUCAGGGCUGGCAUUGGCAUGACAUGUUGCCACCUUUGAGAAGAUCCAUAUAGCUGCUCCAUUAUAACUUUACUAGCCAUAGGAGUUUUUCUUGAAAGCUUUGUACUGUGAUAUAGUAAUCUCCUUUCAGAAUUGUCACUACUCCAACUUGUUCUUGCGCUGCUGCUACUCACACUGCUUCUACUGCUAUUAACACUGUUGCUUCUUGACGACAUGAGGGAACCUCUGCUGCUCAAGCUGCUGUUUCUACUAGAUGCUCGAGAGAUAGAUUCGAUAAGAACCAUGGACGUUGCUGGUGAUUGUUUUUGCUGUUGAAGUACUACUGGGAAAGAAUGAGGCAAGAGACGACCAUUGGAGAAAAGAUGAUCAGCUGGUGAGGACAUGUACGGAUCAUCAGUUGGAGGAAAAUCAGGUGUUAAACAACCGAAUUCGAAGUCGGAAUCUUGAUAUUGACUUGGAGUGCUAGGGAAGGAGAAAAUUUCUCUAGAGCUAGUCUUUUGAUGGUGGUGAUGCUCCAUGGGAGGUUUUUGGUGAAAGGGUGAUUUAAGCUUUGUAUAUAUAUGAAAGCUAUAAGGUAAAUGAUGAAGAAAAAUGUAUAUAUAUAUAUAUAUAUAUAAUUAUGUUAAAUUAUAGUGAAAAAUAAAAUAAUAAUGAAAGAUCUUUAUAUGCUUUUUGAUGGGUAGAAAUCACGAGGUCAAUACUUGCCAACUCAACCUCCAGUGAUCCAUGUACAUAAACAAGAAGUGAUUAGUUAAUGUGAGUGAAGUCUCUAAAGCUUGUUAUUGAAUAUAUACUUUUCUUUACUCGAUGUCCAAGGGCACAGCCUCCCAAAUAUACUCUUACAUAUAAAGCAAAAAAGACCUUUAAAGAAAGGAAGGUGGUCAAGCAACACGAGUACCAAUAACAAAAUGGUGGUGUUUGGGCUUCAAACUAAGGCCAUAAGCUAUGAUGGGAUCAACAAAAGUCUUUUCUUUUCUUUUCUUUUCUUUAUGCAGUGGAGCUGGGAAAGCUAUAAGAGAAAAUGACUAAAGAGUUUUUAAUGUGAAUUUUCUUGAUCACUGAUCUCCUCAAAAUGAGGACAAAUGAGCUCUUAGAAAAUUUGUUUUGUCUCCCAUUAGGGUUUCUAAGGAAACCUUUAGGUCCCAUAUGAGAUCAUGAUGCCUUAAGGACCACACAUCAUCCAGAUUUAUUUUUAUUCAUCAUGCCUUGAGGACCACAUAUCAUCCAGAUAUAGUCUUCUGUUUUCCCUCCCCACCAAGCAAGUUCUUUGUUGGUUCCCUUUGUUGAUACUCUAAUUAUGUCUUGUGGUAGGUCUACAUGUUAUUAAAGAUUUUUGUUUCAAUUUAUUUCUUUGACCAUUAACCAAAUUUUUGACUUGAAAUUCUUUUCUUUUUAUAAUUAUUAAUAUGCCUCGUUUAGGUUAUGCACUCGAUUGAAGUUCUGAUUUCAGCUUGGGUGUACCACUUGCAUGUAAUACUAGUAAAGCUGCUUCCUAAGUAUAUAUGAACGAUUAUUUUCAACUUUCUCUUUUUUUUUUUUUUUCUAUUUUUUCCUCUAAACAGUGAUAGUUAAAAGUUUAUUGCCAUAACUGGUUUUGAUUUACAUCGAUCAAACUCAUCAUAAGAGAAUAUAGUGUUGCUUUCUGAGUUUUAUAAUUGUAUUUAGGAUUCAAAUUUAAGAUCACUGAUUAAAUAAAAAAGUAGCUUAUAUUAUUCCACCGAUUAAAAAAAUAGCCGUGACAUGAGAGAAAUAUUUAUUCUGAUAGGAGUUUAAAAGGAUGUCAUAUAUGAUGUAAUAAAAAGAUUACAUAAUACAUUAAUUUAGAUGCUCAAUAUAUUAAAAAAAAAUUGAGUGAUGCUUUAUAAGGGCUUAAUGUACGUGUAUAUGUAGACACGUACAUAUUUUUUUAGGGACUAUGCCCUUAUGAGAGAGUGGGACUUCAACUUGGUCUAUUGGUGAAUGGGCCAGCUCAUUCUCUAAAAUGGCUAAGCCAUAUCUUAGACUAACUCCAAAUGAUGAGUAUUCUAUUCCUCAAAUUCAAUUGGAUUUUAGUCCACAUGCUUAAUUAUCAUUUGGCAUAUAUGUGGUGGCUCAUGUACUUGGAUCUGGCUCCUUGUGGCUUCACCCUCAAGGUCUAGCCUCUUUAACUAAGCUCAUGGGCCCGGUUCAUUACAGCCUAACCUUCUAUUAUAUUCCAUACCAUGCUUGUUUAGCAUUUAAGUCGGUAGAAGAAGUGAGGCUCAAUUUUGAGUAAGGGAUAGAAAAUAAAUAGUAUCGAGUUAAAAUUUUUCAUCUAUUUAUUUAAUUUCUUUUAGUUGUAUAUCUCGUAAAUUGUUUUUAGUUAUUGUGGCAAUGCAUAAGAAAAGAAAGCUAAAUUUUAAAAUGCACAUUUAAAUUUAAAUUAAUAGCGUAAGGAGAAAACCAAACCCGAAAUAGGUGUCUUGUGUCCGUACCCAAUUUGAUGGGACCAAUCCAUGACCACGAGGAGGCCCAAUUCUGCCGCGAAAUUCAACAUGCGAUUCGCAACUCUUUCUUCGUCGUCAACUGUUGGAAGAUCCUCAUCUCCUCCUUUUUAGUUUUACACCACUCUCCCUUUCGUUCACUCUUGGCCACUGUGAUCCUUGACUUCCAUAUCCAUUUCUCUCCAAACCUCCUAUAUAUUUGUAGCUGAGCUUCACCCAAAAAGCAAUGGCUGGCAAAGAAAUCUUACACAAGAUGAAGGUAUUUUUGCUCUCAUUCACUCCGUAUUUUUCAAUAUGUUCUCUGUAAGCACUAUUCAACAGCUUCUUAACACUUUCUUGCUAAGACUGGAUAUGCUGAGUUUGAGUUGAGACAUUUUCUCCACUCUUGAUUAUUCUGUCCCUUGGAUCUGGUUGAUUUUAUGGUAUCUGUGUAGAGAAUUUUGUCUGUUUGUUUGUUUGUUUGUUUGUACUCCUUUCAAUUGGGGGACUGGAAUGUGUGUGCUUGAGAUUCAAUUAGGUGAUUUUUUAGAUUUUGUUCUAUUGUUUGAGAUCACUACCAGAUGGGUUGCUGAUACUCUGGAGCCUAGAGAAGUUCUUUAAAUUUUCUACUCUGAGGAUGCGUUCUGUUGCAAUACAAGUAAGUUAUAUGGUGUGGAUUAGUGAACAAUUGAUAGGGAGCUAGCUGACGGGUUGGAAUUGAUGUGUAGUUAAUGAGUCAGUUAAGCUCCAACUAUAAAAGAACUUGUAACUGUAUUGAGAACUUUUUCUGGAAUUGUUUAAUGAGAAGGAUUGUGUACUGUGGCGACAUUUCCUCUAUUUUCUUGUUUCUUUCAUUUUUGUAUCACAACAAUUGGAAUCAGAGCUGUUGAUUCGCUGCAAUGGCAGGGAAGCUUGCUCUUGUGAAUGGAACUAGAGGUUUCUUGAUUCUUCUUUCUAGUUUUCUCUUCAGCUCAAUCCCCGUUUCUAUUUCUUGACUUCUAUGUUUCCAUUUCUAUUUUUGUAUUCUUCCUCGUAUUUUCUAGUUGUUUUCUUGAUUCUUUCUCUAGUUUCCAUGCUUGAAUCAAUUUUUUUUCUCUUCAUCUUUCUCUUAAAUUUCAUUUCUCAUUUGCAACAAGAAUCAUGGAUCAUUUCCUCUUGAAAUCACAAGGACAACGUCAGAGUUGGAUGAUAGAAGAUGUAAUGGUUUGUGUUUACGUUGUGAAGAAACUUAUUCAUUGGGUCUCAAUUGUGACAACUGAAAAGGCACCAUUGUGACCAUUAUUGAUGAUGAAGAAGAUAAAGAAGAUGAGAAACUAGAGAUUGCAGAGAAGGUAGAUGUAGUAUUUUCAGACACAAUCAUACCUGACUCUGAAUCACAAUUUGUUGCUAUUUGAACCUCGUGAACCUGCUCCUCAUGAAAUGACAAUGAAUUCAGUUGACAGCCUGCAGGAGGAGAUCUUAGAAGUGAGGCUUGCUGAAACUCAUAGUCAUGGUGGGCCAUGAAAGUUGAAAAGAUGACGUUUUGGGAAAACUGGAGUGUGGAAAUGAGGGGGCAAAGUUUGGCUUGAUUAAAUCAGCUCCUCUUUCAAGAGGGAAAAUAAAUGGGAAAUGUGGAGUUUGUGCAAGAGGAAGAUAUAGGAGUGUCUUCAAUGUUUAUAGGCGCUGGUAAAGCAUUUGCCAAACAGUUGGAUGAUAGUAAAAAAGUCAGCUGUCCUUCGAAAGUUCUUUGCAGUGUGUCUUGUGAUAGUUCGGGUCUCUUGCAACUUCAGCCGCUUCCUAUUGUGGCUGCAAUUGCUGCUGAGCAAAUAUGGAUUUUUUGGGGUUCAUUAGUUUGUUGUGACUUCAUUUCUAGAGAAAGAGAUUUAAAGUUAAAAGGCAUAAAUGUGGUGAAAUCAUAUCCGGGAAGAAUCAAACUUAGAUGUUCAAGUGUCAAGACCAAUUGGACAUUUGGAAAUAGUAAAAUGCAAGAUGAAGCACUGUAAAUUCCAAAAAGAUUCAAUUGGGCAUUUGGAAAUGAUAAAAUGCAAGAUGAAGUUCUUCAAAUUGCAAAGAAAAUUCAGUUUCAAUAUGCUGGUGAUUCUCAGCUUCGGUAUCCAAAUUGGCUCUUGAGGUCAAGUAGCUUUUCGAGGGAGUGAGUAUUGUUGUAAUACAAAUAAGUGAUACGGUGUGGAUUAGUGAAUAAUUGAUAAAGAGCUAAUGGGCGAUUGCAGAGUAGUUAGUUAGUCAAUUAGGCUCUGGCUAUAAAAGGACUUGUAAGUGUAUUGAGAAUUUAUUCUGGAAUUGAUAAUGAGAAGGAUUGUGUGCCGUUGAGCCUUUUCCUCUGUUUUCUUCUUUCCAUUUUGUAUGGCAACAGUUUUUGGGAAAUUCCAGUUACUAGGUGACAUUUGUUCCUGAACCUGAAAGAUUUGAAAGUACAUUCAAUACAAGAAUAAACAUCAAUGACUUAGAGCUUCAAUUUUUUUUCCCCCUGAGCUUUGUCUUUUCUUUUUUAGGUGAUCAAUUUGAUUUCUUGCGGAUGGAAUUUGUUUCAUUAUCACACGCACACAAAAAGAGGGUUCGAUCUUGACUAUAAUUUAUGUUUUACUUCACAAUUCACAUAUGAGGUAAUUUUUAGUAUAUAUUGUCGUGCACCCUGCACUAGGAGCCAAGAACAUGCCAAUUUGCUCUUUUACAUUUCCAAUUGCUUCUCUUUAUGUGUCCCCGUUGUUAUCUUUGGUAAUCAGUUAUUUGUGAGUGGUCAAUCUCCAAUUAAUUUUAAACAAGUAUGGGAGUACACAUUUUGUGAGUUCUGGAAGUGCUAUAUUGUAGCUGGCUUUGCUGGUUUUCAGCUAUAUUUGAUAUUUUAUUAUGCUUUAAUUUUCUGGUGGACUAUUUUUCAUUUGAAUUACCUCUUUGAAUAUGCAUAUCACAGGAAAAAGUUGGAUUAUGUUCAUCUACAGCCUCUGGAAAGGGCAAGAGUAAGAUGUCAAAGAAUGUAACACAUGGCUUUCACUUGGUGAAGGGAAAAUCACAUCAUGCCAUGGAAGAUUAUGUUGUUGCUCAAUUUAAGCAAGCUGGUAACAAUGAGCUUGGUUUGUUUGCCAUAUUUGAUGGUCAUCUGAGCCAUGUUAUUCCUGAUUAUUUGAGAUUGAAUUUGUUUGACAAUAUCUUAAAAGAGGUAAGUCAUGCUGUUUGCUUUUCAUGCUGCUGUUAAACUUCUUAAUCACUGUGGACACUGUUUUAUGUUUUUGAUUCAAUGGGGAGCUAAACAGCUCAAACCUAGGAUCUCUACCCAAAUCACCUCCCCACUCUCCCUCUAGCAGAACCACCUGAACUAAAUUACUUACGAGCUUUAAACUAUACCCUUGGGUUCCCUCUCUCUGUGGGUUUAGAUCUAUGAACUAUCAGUUGUGCUAAUGUGGAUUGUAGAAUUGCCAUUUCAAUUUGAAUUAUAUAAAUUCUUGCUGAAAUAUAGAUCAUUUCAUAAUCUGUGAAGUCUACAGUGGCAUCCCAGUUUGCUCUCUCUGUCUCUCUCUCUCUCUCAUAUUCAAAACCUUUUUUUUGUCUAGAUUAAAACCCCAUCCAUUUUGCAAAAACUACUGUUGUGUAGAUAUUUUCUGAUAGUUGGUCUUUACAUUGAGAAUCAAUCAAACUUAUUUCUGGCAUUUCAAGUACACUAGAAAAAUUGCUCCGACAAAGAAGACCAUUAGAAUGUUUUGACCUAGAGGGUUCUGUAUUUUUUUUUUCUGAUGGAGAAUAUUGUGAGAAUGUCUGGACCCUGAGGUUUAUAUGUUCUCAAAAUUGGUUUAAUAUAUUUCAAUGAAAUGACAAUUUGAUUAAAUAGAAGGUAAAUUAUUGUGGCCAAUGGCUAUCGAAAAUAACUUGUGAUAAUUGAUGGUAGUUAGACUAGUGGGUGUUUGAUGGUGAGCUUAUUGACAUUUUCGAUAGUCAAAAUUUUCCAGCAUUCCUAAAACACUAUUUCCAUGUUUGAAAUCAAGAAAUUUAUAAAAAUUCAAGUCAAUUGAUUUUUUUUUUACCAAUUCUUGUGCUUGGAAUGAAAGAACUUAAUUCUUUUUAACUUGGAAAUAUUCUCAUUUCAAAAGAAAUAAUAGUAUUCAUGCAUGAUUAUAUCAUUUAAAUCAUUUUCUUGCAGAUGAUUUAUUACAAAUGAAGCAUAUAAGGCACAAAUAAUGUUUUAAUCAAAAUAUUUUCUAUGAAACAAAAUGGAGCCUAAAAACGAGUACUAAUUUUCAUGUUUAUGCUUUCAGCAUGCAGUUGGCAUAGCUAAAUUUGAGGAAAUAAAUCUGUUUUUUUCUUUUUCAAUUUUUUCCUGCGAGUAGCCAGACUUCUGGAAAGAGCCAGAAAAUGCCAUGAGGAGAGCAUAUCAUAUUACUGAUACUACUAUUUUGGACAAAUCAGCUGAUUUGGGUAGGGGGGGUUCUACUGCAGUCACGGCAAUAUUAAUCAACUGUCAGAUGCUGGUAGUGGCCAAUGUUGGUGAUUCUCGAGCUGUUAUCUGCAAGAAUGGCAUGGCCAAGCAACUCUCUGUUGAUCAUGAACCAAGUGUAGAAAGGAAGGAUAUUGAGAACAGAGGUGGUUUUGUAUCCAAUUUCCCAGGUAAGAACUUCACCAGAUAAAGGGAAACAUGGUUAUGCGAGUUUUUGACUCCCACAUGAACAUUAUUAUUACACCAUUUAAAAGUAUAUAGUUUGAAUUAAGAGUUUUAGCAUCAUAAGCACUGUCUAUUGUUGCUCUGCACAAUGCCCAUUGGAAUAUUGAGAAAUGCGUUCAACUUGAUGAUGAUUCUCUUUAACAGGAGAACAUGGGGUUGGUUAUCUUUUUGGUGUGCCAUUCGAAAAUUAUCUAUGCCCUUAUAUCAAACUGGUGAAGUCCUGUGUUCUGAGUAACACUAACCAACCUCACAUGUUUGCACACCUUUCCUUUGCUGUCGUUUACUUGUUACUUAUUUCUGUCAUGGGUUGAAGUUGAUAUCCUAUAAGAUUGUCAGCCAUGUGAUUGGUUGUUACCUUUGCGGUUUGUCCUAGUUUUUGUUGGCCAGCAGUAAAAUAUAAAUUUUAUGCAUUCAGGGGAUGUUCCACGUGUUGAUGGGCAAUUGGCGGUGGCAAGGGCAUUUGGUGACAAGAGCUUGAAAAAGCAUCUUAGCUCAGAGCCGGAUAUCACAAAGGAAGUGAUUGAUGAGGACACAGAAUUUAUUAUCUUAGCUAGUGAUGGAUUGUGGAAGGUUGGUCCUAUGGAGAACUUUCACUAAACUUUAAAUGUCUUCUGCCUUGACCUUUGUUGCGAUGAUACAACUUUUUGUUUCCCCCUGGAAAAAGUAUUAAAUAAAAUCUGUUCUUCUGGUAUGAUGCCAGGUGAUGUCAAACCAGGAAGCAGCAGAUGCUAUUAAGGACAUAAAGGACGCUCGUUUGGCAGCAAAACACCUUGUAGAAGAGGCACUUAAUAGGAAGAGCAAAGAUGACAUUUCCUGCAUAGUUGUAAAAUUUCAGUGAUCUCUGAACUCCUCUUGGAUUAUUCGUUUGAUGAAUAAUUCCCAGAUACCUGUAAUUUUCCUGUAACAUUAAUAAACCUUGUAAUAUUUAUUUUCUGCCUCUUCUGUAGUAGUUCUGGUCUUCUAUUGCAGGAAGAGCUUGCCUGCUGUAUUUGGAAGUUGGAGUACAGAUUUCUGGUUUUGAUCUUCUCAUCAACUGUUGAUAGUAAUGUAAGGGGUUGAGCUUGCUGGUUCUUGGGUUCUUGUCUCGGUUGGUUUCCCCCUUUCUGUAUUACAUUCUCGCUUAUAAAAAAAACUACUUAAAAAUUUAUUUAAAUCAUUUUUCAAUUUUAUUUUAGAUAAUAGAAAAUAAACUCGUACAAAGUAUUUCAGUCUUGAAGAUGCGAACUGAAAAUAAUCAAUGAUCAUAUUAAAGGUGAUGCAGCUUUGAAACUAAACAGUAGUCCUGUAUUUUUCAAGGUUACUGUUUUCUUAUUUGAUUAUGCACAUUCUUUUAUAUUGAAUUAUAUCUUGUCAACUCUGCCAUAGUUGCUGAUGGAUACUGACAACUAUCUUCCUCUGUUUUUUCUCCUUCAAAGUUGAAAUGGCCUCAUCUCUGAGAUGGAAGAUUCCCUCCUGAACAGCAAAUUCCCAGCAGGUUUAUCUUAUUACUUCACUCAUCUUCCUCCAGCCCUUUCCUUUGUAGCGCUUUUGAGAACGAUUCUCUUUUAAUAUGCUAUUACUAGUCUUUUCAUUCAAACUUCUAAGGAUUCUUCCCAAUGAACCCGUCAAAAUAAACAAAAAUACAGACUAAUUAUGGUAGUUUGAAUCUUCUGCACUCUUGCACUGCGAUACGUACACUCCAUCACUAUAAGAUAGAUAAUUUACAAUGUUGAAAUUCAAUGAUGAAGUCCAAACAUUUCAGGCCAACUUGAGUCUGAGUGGUGCUCCACCCUUGGAAAAGGAUUCCUCAUUAUUGUAGCAAAGGAAGAAUGAAGAGCCUUACCAAAUUCAUAUAUGACCAAAUGAAAGUUCAAAAGAUAAUAUUAGCUAGUCAUUCCAAAGCAAUCAACAACAUUAUAUAUAGAAUAACAAGUACAAGAGUGAAAUUCCAGAAAGCACUAGCACAUGUAUAUUAUAUAAUAGAGACUCCAAUCCAUUCUCUUUUAAUAAGAAAUUUCGAGUUCGAAUCUAAGUUUGGAAUACAUUGAAAACUGAGAAUUUGAAAACCGAGAAUGAGUCUAUCCAAUGCGAAUCCAAAUUAGUUGAGCCAGUCGAUUACGAAUAUCAAAAGAUAUAUACCCAAAAUAUAUAUAUAAGAUUUAGGACAAUAAACAUCAUAUCAAACACAUACCACUUAAUUAUAAAAGUCUAGUUUGCAUGAUGUAAUAUAUAAGAAUACAAUAACUACAUAUGACAUACAACAACAUGAAGUGAAAGCAAACUUGCCUCAACUUCCACAUAAUGAUUCAUGAUAUAUUGUCCUUAUAUUCUUGUAGAUAUAAUAUAUAUAGCAUACUGAAAGUGCUUGAAGCUAGGCAUAAGAUGACAGAAGAGAGGGAGCAUGGUGGGGUUCUUUGUUCACAGGAUUUGGGAUCGUUUGUAAGUAGCAGAAUUAUUCCCUGGUAUGGUUAUAUGAUAUUUGCCUCUUUCAUCAGCUUGCCUGAACUGGCUUUCCUUUAACUGAGCCUGUCCACCAAACAACCCUUUGCGGCCGCUGGACCCUUCCCCGUAGGAUUCAGCUGAGCUCUUCCUUCGCCUCUCGUUGUGUCCUGCCAAACGCCUGCGGCAACUCCUUUUUGCUUCAUCAAACUCUGACAGCUCAUGGAACCUUAAAAAGCUCAAAUAACAUUAGGUAAAUGGAAUAAUAUGAAUAUUCUUGUCUGUUCAAAUGCACUUUUACAAGAGAAAUCAUGUCAUUUUAAUUAUAAAUAUGAAAAUGCACAUGAAAUUUAAAAGCACAUGUUUACCUGCUGCAUUGUUGACAAAACCUCUGCCUAAUGCCAGAAACAAUGACUGCUGGUGCCUUUGCAUGAAUCUCACACACCUUAUGUCGCCUGUGGUACCUCUUAGCCUCGGUUAAAUCAGCUCCACAUCUCUCCACCUGGCAAGACGGCGACGAUGACCCGCCGCUGCUGCCACCUCCACCACUAUUCCCUCUCUUCCCAUGCACCAUACCAACUCCUUUUUUCUUCUCAUCAUCAACAAACCCACCACUUCCGUCUUCUUCUUCCAUAUCAUCAUCUAAAUCUUCAUCAACAAUGCAAUCAUCUUUGAACAUCACUCUUUCUCUGGAACUGCGCUUCCCUUCAUGUGCUUUGGCAUCCAUUGUUAAAGAGUUGGCUGGGCAAAUGAAUAUGUGGUACUUGAAGUACUUAAAGGAAGGCUUGAGAGAGAGAGAAAGAGAGAGAGGACACAAGGGUGAUAAAGAUGGAUGGAGGACCACAAAGCUACACUUAUAUAUAUUCUUGGGUGUUUGUAUUGAGUGUAUGUGCGUGUUUAUGUCAGUGAAAAAAGUGGAUCAUUGCAAGUUUUGAAAGAAAGAAUUAAAAGAAAGAAAAGGGUUUGUAGUUAAGCUUCUUUUUCUGCCUAAAUCUUGUUCUUGGGGGUUAUAGAGUGAUAGUUUCAUUUGGUACUGAAGCUUGUGCUGUGCUCACUCUCAAUUAUUGAUCCCAAAGGUGGUCCUGCCUCUGAAAAUUAUUUUUAAGAUUUGUUAUUUAUAUAUGCAUUCUUAUUAAGCCACCCAAGCCCUAAUAUGAGUGAGUAUCGAGUUCUGGUAUAUAUACCUGAAUCAUCAAUGAAUUAUUUCAACACUCUAUCUAUGUUUUGAUAACUAAUGCCUCCUCGUUGGAAACCACUUCAAUCUCAUAUUUUGUAAUUUUUUUUUCUAGAAAACCAUAUAACUUGCCUAGAAUACACCAUGUAUCACCUCUAAGUAUAUGGUCACUCACAAAAAAUCAGUUUUUUAUCAACUCAAAAAAAUACAUAUGAUCCAAAACAUCGAUAUGGAAAUAACAUGAAAGCAUCAAUGAUGCUUAAUAUUAAAGAGAAUUAGCCUUUUUCUCCAAAUAUAUACUAUAAUUUUAUUAAUGAAUAAAUCAGAAAAAAACUUAUUAAUGUGGAUGUGUAUAAAUGUCCAAAGAAAUUUGAUUUUUUUAAAAAAGGUUUUAGGACAGAGAAAGAAGUGAAAAACAAUGUGAAGUGAUAAUAGUGGUUGGCAGAGGUAUGUGAAGGACACAUCAGAAUUUUGAUUGUAGUGUUAAAUGUAGGGUACGGCACCAGUGCAAUGGUUGCACAAAAUUCUGCUUCUUUAAGUUGGACAUGCAGAGUUCCCUAUGCUUCAUCUCUUCUCUUUUCUUUUACACCCAUGCCCAUGGACCUUUAUUCUCUCUCUCUCUCUCUCCUUUUUGUUCUUCUGUCGUUAUUACAAGAUGUGAGAUUUGAUUUCAUGUGCAUGAAUCAUCAAUCAUCAUCUUUUAAUUAUUAAACUAGAUUCUAUUACAAUCGAUGUUAAUAUAGCUUAUAUCAUAUGUUUGUAUUCAUACAGCCUAGCUUUCAUGAUUUUCUUUUAGGUAAAUUAGAUUAAAAAAUUUAAAUUUUUAUAUAAAAUUUUAAUUAUAUCUAUUUAUUUUUGUAUAAAAUAAUUAAACUUUUGAGAUUAGUUACAAUUAUCUUUAUAUUUUUAAAUUAAUUUAACUAAAAAAUUUAUCAAUAUUUAUGAUCUAUAAUUAUUUUGUUAUCAUCAGCAUAAUUAAUUCACUAAUCGAGAAAUUUAGACGAAUUUGACAAUCACUUUAAAAAAAAUAAGUUCAAUUUUAACUGACAUAAUAAUCGAUUAAGUAAGCUAGUUUAAAAGUAAAAUCUAAAGAAUAUAAAUUUAAAAAUUAUAUCGCAUUAAUAAAAUAUUAUUAAAAUUUAAAAAUAAUUUUUGAAUAAUCCAUGUAGAAAAUGAUAAAAGUAAAAUUACGAUAAUAAGAGAAGGUUAAUUGGAAUUUAUAUUUCUUGAACUCAAAUGAGAAGUUACAUUAGUUCAUAUUGAGUGUUUUUAUGAAUUUUAUUCGUGGAGUAAAGUUGAAGCAAAAUAAGAGGAGAAAAUUGAGAUAAAUUGUAAUUAAAUGUUGAUUAAAAAGUUUGAUGAUGUGAUAAUUAAUUUAAAUUAAAAAAAAGUCACCUAUUAAUGGAUAUUUUUUUUUAUCAAAAUUAAUUUAGAGAAAUGGAUACAAUAAUAACUAAUUUCAAAUUUCAAAAAGAUUCAAUAUUUUACAUAAUAAUUAAAAAAAUAAAUAUAAUUAAAAAUUCACAUAAAAAUUUAAAUUAUUUAGUUCAAUAGGCCUUUCUUUUAUAAUGAAAAUCAGAAUCUACCAUUUUUUUUCACAUUUUCUUUUUUUCAAGAAAUUUGUUGGUAUAAACCAAACUCACUACCUGAUUUACAAAAUAACGUUAAAAUUAAUGGCCUUUCACCUCCUACUUGUUCUAUACCUUUCAAAUUAUUUCACAGAGUCAGACUAAAGUCAAAGCAUAACAAGACUUGACGGUUUUAGCCUUUAGAAUUUGUUUUUUGAAAUGAAAAUUAAGGGAAUAAAAUUAAAAUCUCUCAAACUUAUUUAAAUACACUUAUUAUCAGAUUAAAACUAAGACUGUGCAGCAUUUAAAAUUUAUAAUUAUAUAUAUUAUAAUAUUUUUAUAAUUUUAUAUAUUUAUACCAUUUAAUUCUUUAAUUAAAUGUAAAAUUAGAUGGUUAAUAUUUAUUGACAUAAAAAUUAAAUAAUUUAAUUUUAUAAAACAUAUGAACAUGUAAUUAAAUAUAUUUUUAAAAAAAAUUAAAGAUCUAAUAACAAGUAUGGCUAUGGUUAUAGGAGGAAGGAAUUGAAGUGCAUAUAAAUAAAAAUUAAAUUACAAAUUUUUUUUUAAAAUUUUUUUUGAGGAAAGUAAAAAAUAGUAGCAGGAGAUAUGAUUAUAUGAUAGGACCCCACACAAGUUUUUCACGUGGCUACCGUGCCAUCAAAAAUUGCAUCCAGGACAUGACAAAGACAUCACACUCACUACUUAUAUUGAUAGAAUCAAAUUAAAAAUUGAAGUUAUUGAUAAAUAAUAAUUGAGAAAUUUUAAUCAUAUAAAAAAAUUAAAUAAAUUUAAUUUGAUAGUGAAUGUAUUUAGAUAAAUUUAAAAGAUUUUAAAUUUUAAUUUUUUAAUUUUUAAUUUUCAAUUAAAAAAAUUAAAUUUUAUUUUAUUUUUACAUGAUUAUUAAGAAGCAAUUAAUGAUUUAAAGUGGAAAAAGAAAGAUAGAAGAGUAAAAAAAAGAAGAGAGAAUCAUGGGUGAGUUUUGAUUAAAAUUGGAAUUUAUGCUGGGGAUAGGAUUCCUGACCAUCAUUAGAGUUGAAAUUGCCAAAACAACAACAACUAAAAAGAUAAAAGAAUAAAAAAAAUAUUGACCAAUAGAAAGGUCACAAAAAUUUUUGGACGAAUAAAAAAAAAAAAAAAAUCAAUGGUCAUUUAUNNNNNNNNNNNNNNNNNNNNNNNNNNNNNNNNNNNNNNNNNNNNNNNNNNNNNNNNNNNNNNNNNNNNNNNNNNNNNNNNNNNNNNNNNNNNNNNNNNNNNNNNNNNNNNNNNNNNNNNNNNNNNNNNNNNNNNNNNNNNNNNNNNNNNNNNNNNNNNNNNNNNNNNNNNNNNNNNNNNNNNNNNNNNNNNNNNNNNNNNNNNNNNNNNNNNNNNNNNNNNNNNNNNNNNNNNNNNNNNNNNNNNNNNNNNNNNNNNNNNNNNNNNNNNNNNNNNNNNNNNNNNNNNNNNNNNNNNNNNNNNNNNNNNNNNNNNNNNNNNNNNNNNNNNNNNNNNNNNNNNNNNNNNNNNNNNNNNNNNNNNNNNNNNNNNNNNNNNNNNNNNNNNNNNNNNNNNNNNNNNNNNNNNNNNNNNNNNNNNNNNNNNNNNNNNNNNNNNNNNNNNNNNNNNNNNNNNUUAUUAUUAUAAGUUUGGUGGUACAUUGAGUCUUUUUAUUUUUUUUUUAUUUUUUAAUAUAAUUUUAUUUUUUAUUAAAAAAUAAUUUUUUCAAAGUUUUGUUAAAAAAUAUUAUUAUGUAAAAAUUCAUUUAAAUCAUCUUCCUAUAAAAUAAUAGUUUCAGAGAGAAUUAUGUUUAUAAAAAAAUUUAAAUUAAAUAUAAAUAAAAACAGUUACAUCUGUCAAAAUAAUCCGAACCAAAACUAGAAUAAAGAAAGAAAAAAUUCUGCGUAGUAUCUAAGCAUAUAAAAAAUUCAAUUUCAAUAAAAGAAUUUUUUUUAGAACAAAAAUCUACAUCAAAUACCCUAAUUUUAAAAUCGACAAUAAUUGUAUCCGAAAUUCAAAAUCAAUUUGUAGAAAAUUAAAAUUUUCUUACUAUGAAUGCUAAAUAUGUACUAAUUUAAUAAAAUAUAUGGUGUUUUCUAUGUGUACAAAAUAAAUCAUAAGUGAAUGCAUACUUUUUUUUAAUUAUUUUUCUUUCAACCACGUAUUGCUACUCUUGAUUUUUAUUUAAAAAGUCACUUUGUAUUUCACUUUUACUUGCAUUAUAUUUAAUACAAGUUUUAUAAAUGUAUUUAUUUAAUUAUUAUAUUUGCAUUAAAAAAUACCGUUGAAUUUUAUAUCAGUUUAGACACUCCUUAAACUUAAAUUAAUUUUUCUUUUAAAUUAAAGCCGAACGAAAUUUAAUAUAUAUUUUUUCCUUUCAGAUAUAUCAAUUUUAUACAAAUAAAACUAUUAAGGCUUUCAAAUUUUAAUCGACCGACAUGUGAUGCACACGUAAUAAGAAGAUUAAACAUAUUAAAAUAUUAUCAUUAUUAAAAUUUAUAUAAUUAUAAAAUUAAAUAAAAUAUAUUAAUUUCUUUUAAUUUUUUUCAUCUCGUCAUUAGAAAAAAUCCAUUAAAUGGAGUAUUGCUAAUUAAAAAAUUAAACUAGAACCUCCUAAGAAUAUGAGAUGAGGCUAAUUUACUCUGGAAAUUUUAGUUUAAGGAGAAAUAACACUUAAAAAUAUAAAGAGUGUAUUACUCUAUUUUAAAUUAAUAUGAGAAUUUAAUAUACCUUCUCACACUUAAAAUUAAAUAUUCGGAGCAUGAUGUUCUGAUAAUAAAUUCAAUAUUUAAUAGGAGACUAAUACUAUUUUAAAAAAUAAAUCGUGUCUAUUUUAUUCAUAAAAAUUAAUUUAAAAAGAAAAAGAUUAUCUUAGAUUACAAGAGACACGUUACCUUAUCUUAAAUUAAUGUAAAAUUUAACUUUGCAUUUCGCCAUUAAAAAUGACUGACAUAAUUACGGGCCGAUAUCGUUUUAUUAUGCAUUAUUAAAAAAAAAUCUUUAUCAACAUCGUUCAUGACAGUGCCAAACGUGAUUAGUAUAAAUUAUCUUAUAAUGAAGUUAAAUAGUUAUAUUUUAUAAAUUUUAUUAUUGAUAUUGUUAAAAAUUAAAUAUGUAAUUACACUUCUAAAAAAUUCAGAUGUGAAAAUGAAAAAGAAAUAAAGUGAGAGUGCAAAAUAGUUGUCAGAUAAAGAUAAUUGGAAUUGCAGUUAUAGGUCAUUUUCGAUUUGCACAUAGGAAAAAAAUGAAUAUUGGAAUUAUGUUUAGUUGUUUUUUAGUGCCAAACGUGAUUAGUAUAAAUUAUCUUAUAAUGAAGUUAAAUAGUUAUAUUUUAUAAAUUUUAUUAUUGAUAUUGUUAAAAAUUAAAUAUGUAAUUACACUUCUAAAAAAUUCAGAUGUGAAAAUGAAAAAGAAAUAAAGUGAGAGGGCAAAAUAGUUGUCAGAUAAAGAUAAUUGGAAUUGCAGUUAUAGGUCAUUUUCGAUUUGCACAUAGGAAAAAAAUGAAUAUUGGAAUUAUGUUUAGUUGUUUUUUUUUUUUUUUUUUUUGAAAUGGUAUGUUUAGUUGCUUUCUAUUCAUGUUUAGAUCAAUCUUUUCCAGCUGGAAUUUUAUUUGGAAAUUAAAUGAACAAAGUAGAGAGCGUAUCAGAUUCUAUGAGUUUUUAUUUUUGUUUGAAACAUGCAAAUCGACAAAAUUUAUGCACUUUGAGGAUAGAAUGCUAAAUGUGAGACAGCUGCCUCUUCUCUCAAUUUAUUCACGUUCCUUAUAUUUUUGGCCAAAAAAUUAUUUAUAUUUUUUUAAUAUUUUUGGUAUUUUUAUAUUUUUAAUUCUACAAUGAUAAAUACUUUUAAUAUUUAAGCAAUUUAAUUACUAUUGUUAAUAUUUAAUUUUUUAAUUUUUAGUAUUAAAAAUAAAAGAAUUAUGAAAUAUUAGAAUAAACCACCAGAACAUAUUAUAUUUUAUAUAUAUAUCAAAUGUUGAUAGUAACCCACCAAAAACUUACAAAAAAAAAAAAGAAGGAAAAUUCAGAUGAAGAAUUGGGAAAACAAAGAAGCUAGGUAGAACCAGCUUUAUCCCAGAGUUUGUAUGCCCUUGUUAGGCUAGAUCAUGACAUAUGGGUCAAUUCAUUGAAAUAGGGCUUUUGCUUUGGCAAACUCUUACUUCAGGGAGUUCAUAAAUUGGUUUGGGCCUUCAAAUUAAAAUUUAUUUUAAUUGUUUAAAGUGCAAUUAUUUUCCACUUCACUGUUAUAAAACUAUAUUGAUUAGAAAAUUUGAUGAUGAGAAUUGAUAGCCCUUUUGAGAAACCCUUCACUGCUAGCUUUGAAACAAUUGAUUGCAACACAAAAUUGAAGAGAGGAUUUUGAUGUGGAACAAACAGCAACGCCUUAGAAUUGAGGACUUGCAAAAUCCAGUAUGCAAUUGCCAUGGUGCAGUGGUGAAAUGAUGACAGGAGUAGUAGCAAUUAGGGUUUGAUAUGAAUUGGGGUAAUUUAAUAAUUUUUAGUUAGAUUUAGAUAAAUUUAAAUAAAAAGUUUUAAUCAGUCAUAUUAAAACUAAUAUAUUUGAUUUAAUCACCAAAAUGAAAAUACAUUUUUUAUUGGUUUAUGCCAAUUAAUUAAUUAAUAAUAAUAAUAAUAAAUAAUUCAUUAAUCAACUUAUUUAUUUGUUAAUUUAUUUUUAACAAUUCUUUUCUGUGGUAUUAGAAGGAAAAGGUACGGCAAGUGGAAAAAUAUGGCGGAGACCAAGAUAAUAGGCGUCGUUGGCAGUGGCCAGAUGGGCUCUGGUAUCGCGCAACUUGCCGCCGUAUACGGGCUCGAUGUCUUGCUCCUUGACACGGAUCUUGCUGCUCUCUCCAGAGCUAGAAAAUCUAUUGCCGGUAACAUCCAGCGUCUCGUCUCCAAAGGUCACCUCUCUCAGGUCAAUCAAAUAUUAUAUGUUUUCUUCCUGUUGGUUGUUUUGUCUAAUGCUUUGUUUGGUUGGAGGGAAGAGAAAAGAAAAGAAAAGAAAAGAAAAGAAAAGAAGUUUCUCAAAUUUGUCUUGUUUGGACAUGAAUUAGGAGAGAAGAAGAGAAAGGAGAGGAAAAGAGGGGAAAUUGUAUUUCCCAAUUUGUUGCAAAUGCCCCAACAAAUUUCCCCCCAAUUUGGUGGGAAAGAGUGGGAAAUAGGUAUAAAGCACCUGCAUAUACUUCUUUCUUUUACAGGAGAAAUUUGAUUUCUUCUCUAAACUACUUAUUUAUCCAAACAUCAUAGAGUAAAUAAAAAUUUUUUUUCUUUUCUUUUCUAUUCAUUUCCUCUCUUUAAUUUCUCUCCAAUUCUCCUGCACAAUUAAGGAUCGAAACAUAGGGUAAGGAGUUUUAUGAGUUUCUAAGUUAAAAUUGACAUAUUCGGUUAAUCAACAGACUCAAAACGCUUCUUAUUAAGUUAAAAAAAUGCUGGGUGUCGGAAUUUGUAUAUCCAGACCCCACCGACGGUCGACUCCAGCCUAAAACCCGAAUUUGAACCUAGCAAAUGCAUACCCAUUUUGAAGAGUAGCACGUUGUAAAAUUGUGCAUAUAUCUGCACUAUAAGGGAAGUGCUUGCUUGCUUUUACCCUUGCCAACCAUAAAUACAAACUUGUGUGGCUGGUAAGAAUCACCAAUUUACUCUAUUUAUUCUUUCAUUCUUAUUGUGUAUUGGCUUGUGAAAUAAUUAUCUGUUGGUCUUAAUUUUAUCCUUUUAUUGUUUAUGUGCCACUUUAAUCUAAUCAUUAUGCAAACUUGCGGUUUUAAUGAUUUUAGGUUCAAAUUAGAUUGGGUCUUGAGAGUUGAAAUAUUUUUUGAUGGGAUUUUAAGCUACCAACUGAACUUUUACACUGAAAUAGUUGGUUCCGGUGUUAGUAAGAUGUUAAUAGGAAUAAUGGGAUUGAGCUUUAUUAACUUCAAGAAUACCUGGCUACUGUGAGAAUAAGAUGUUGAUAAAAAUAUGGUUUUCCCGUAAACCCAUGUGCAUGAACUUUAAAAUAUUAUGCCUAUUCCACUUGACAGGCAGCUUUCAGUGAAGCUGUGGGGCGUCUAUAUUGCACCUCAAAGUUGGAAGAGCUGCAUGAGGCAGAUUUUGUUAUUGAAGCUAUUGUGGAAUCUGAAGAUGUGAAGAAAAAGUUAUUUCUUGAACUAGAUAAGAUUGUUAAAAGUUCUGCCAUUUUGGCUUCCAAUACAAGUUCUAUCUCCAUAACACGUCUUGCCUCAGCAACUAGCACGCCGAGCCAGGUUGUGCUUAGAUUAUUUCUUCUUUUACCCUUAGUUUACCUUGGAACAUAUAAUAAGCACAUUUAAUUCAUUAAAAUAUCUCCCAUAUCAACAUUUUGUGCGAGUCUACUAUGGAGUUUCUUUCUUCCGUUUCAUCAUGUUUAUGCAUUAUUUUCAACAAAUCAAGAUUCUAACUAGGUCAUGGAAAACAUAUCAUCUGCAGGUAAUUGGCAUGCACUUUAUGAAUCCUCCCCCAAUAAUGAAAUUAGUUGAGAUUGUGCGUGGUGCAGACACAUCAGAUGAGACAUUUUACGCAACCAAGACCUUGGCAGAGAGGUGACCGAAAUACACUCUUACUAGAAACUUAAUUGCCGUUUGAAUGAUUAAAUUUUGGUAUUCGCUGUAUAUAUAAUGAUGGGCAUAUGAAAAUUUAAUUUAUUUUUAAUAUUAGCUUAUACAAGUGAUUGAACUUCUUGUGCAUCAAAAUGACUAGAUAAUUCGAUAUUAAAGCUCAAUUAUUUAUAUUGUGCACUUCCAUUAUUUAUAUUUUCAAUAUGGGACUUUUUACCCAAUUAAUUUCCCAAUGCUUCCCUGUGAGUGCAAACACAUGGUUAUUACUUGACAAUUAAUUGGCAUUAAUUCAAUAUGGGCUCAAUCAUACGGCCAAGUGAGUGGUUAAUCUCACAGCCCAAUCAGAGCUCGAAUAAUAUAUUAAAUUUGAAGAGAGUGACAAACAUAUUGUACUUUAAUUCAUUUUUAGUAUGGAAUGUACAAUUUAUUGAGCUGUUUGCGCAUAAAAAAUGACUAAUCAAUCCAAUAUUAGUAUAUCACAACUCAUCCAUUUAUAUUGCGUCAUUCCAUUAUUGAAUUUUCAAUGGGACUUUCUACCAAAUUUAUUUCCCAACAUAUGCAUGUGCCUGCGAUAAAAAACUUUGUUAUACUUUAACAUCCAUUAAAUAUUUCUGGAUGGUCUCUAUUCUUUGUUUCUCCUCUGUUUUUAAGUUGCAGUAGGCAAACAGAAUAUCUCUCUUCCUUUUUUUUUUUAUUGUCCUUACUGCAUUAUAAUAAUUACAGUCCACUAUCUGCUUUAACACCAAUGGCUGUUAUAUCUGCAGGUUUGGCAAGACAGUUAUAUGCUCACAGGAUUUUUCUGGUUUCAUUGUAAACCGAAUUCUAAUGCCAAUGAUAAACGAAGCAUUUCAUACUCUUUAUACAGGAGUGGCAACAAAGGAGGACAUUGACACAGGAAUGAAGUUAGGAACAAACCAUCCAAUGGGUCCUUUAGAGCUUGCAGAUUUUAUUGGAUUAGAUGUCUGCCUGUCAAUAAUGAAAGUGCUUCAUGCUGGCUUAGGGGACAGUAAAUAUGCUCCCUGUCCACUUCUCGUGCAGUAUGUUGAUGCAGGUCGUGUUGGACGAAAACGUGGCAUCGGAGUAUAUGACUAUCGUAAAUCCCUUGAACAAGUAAAGCCAUCAGCUCGGCUUUGAAAUUUAUAGCAUAGUAUUUUGCCAAUAGUGUAGUGCUUUGUAAAUAAAUUACAUGCAAAUAAGUGUCCAAUACCAACUCCUCCUACUGUUGUUUUCUUCCUUUGGAUCCUUGCAAAUUAAGAACAAGCUCCCAGAAGGUGGGCAAGAUUCCCCCAUCCCCACACUUAUAUAAGGGGAAGAUUGUGCUUGAAGUAAUGAACUUCACAGACUUUUCUAUCAUCUGUUCAAAUAUAUUGAUGAAUUGUUAAUAUUAUAGCCUAGUAGAUUCUUUAAUAAGACCUCAAUAUGACAUUGCCUUGUCAUUUUGUUAUAUUAUAACUCAGAUACCAAGCAGAUGAUUUGAUGUGAAUCUAAUUCGAUGUAAAUCGGUUUACUUUGGUAUUCUUUCUAUUAUCUUAUUUUCAAUAAUAUUCUGAAUUCUAUCAGAUACAAUGAUGGUGAUAGCAUCGAUUUAAAAUUAUUGAGUACCGUAAUGCGACAGUAUGCACGCCUAGAAGAUCCCAAGGGAAGUUCCAGAGCCUUCAAUUUUAACAAUGUCAGACGCUUUUUGAGUAUGGAAGUGACGAUAAUUCCACGUCACUCCUCUUCACAAUUAUUAUUAUUAUCUUCUUCUUCUACCGGCAAAAGCAACCCUGAAAGUCGCAAACUAGAUUGCAAUUCACAUGCUUUAUUUAUCUUUUCUUUGUCCACAUUUAAAGCAAACUCAGAUUCACCACCACCACCAUGCUUGCUGUUGAUUAUGCUUCUUGCUUGUCCAUGAACAAAAAAAAAGGAAAAAAAAAAAAGAAAAUUUGUUAACAAAAUUUCCAAUUAUGAUCAUUGAAUUCUAACCCAGUUGAUAUCAAUAUAACUCAAGAUUUGAAACUUUUCUAGCUACAUGGUAAUGUAAAUUAAAUUUAUUGUUUCUAAGCACUAGGGAAUCAUUUAGGGUGAGACAGAAGAAUCAGAAGGAGCCUCUAAAUUUCCACAUUAGUGACGAAAUAUGGCCCACAAAGAGAAGAGAGAGAGCCUAUUAAGAGCAUUAAGUUCAUUGUUUCUCAUAGCCAACCCUACCACACCCCUACUGUCAUUCUUAGCUUUUCUUUAUUGAAAGCGAUUGAUCUUUGAAUCCUACGGAUAAAAACAAUUUGCACAAAUUAAUAACCAACAUUAUUAGACCAGAAAGAGGAUAAAAAGGCCAAAGAAAGCUAAGACUUUUGCUGCAUACAAGGUUUUUGGUCCAUUUUUCAGAGCUGAGAGAGAGAGAGAAGGCAUAAGCAAUGAAGUUCUUGUUCCAGUGUCCUUGUUGCUCAUGUUUCUGCUUCGUGAAGCCCAAGCAAGGAAAGCCAAAGGCCAAGGAAGCAAAGGUAGAAGAUUCCAAGGAAGGAAAAAAGGAAUGAGACGAUUGAUGCUGUUUGAAAAUGAUGGAACUGCUCUUUUACUUUGCUGCUGUAUGUAAUAUGUAAAAUUUUUUCUUUCUAGUUCAUCUGAAAUGUUUCCACCUUUUAAUUGCCAUGCAUGGAAAAUAAAAUUUCACAUUUUGUUUUGCCUCUAAUCUGGCAAAAUGUAUGCGAGUUUCUGCUUGAUCGCUUUGCAUAUCAGUUUGUCUCAUGACAGUAAUAGAAAAUGUGAAUCAACCCAUUCCCAUAAAAGGGAGUCUUUAUGGUUUGUAAGCAUUCUAAAGCAUUUGUUUUAGCAGUUCUAAGAGGUAUAAUUGAAAUUUGCCAAGAUAUUUUGAUAUUUUCCAAAAUUUCCCCACAAAUUUUCCUGAUUUGUUCAGCUACAACUCCAUGUUCUUCAAAUUGAUUUGAGGCCAUUUGAAAGGGAAGCUAUUCUUUCUAAAACAUUGUCUAAAUGAUUAUGGUAAAAGAUGUAUAGUGUGCUCUUUGGCUCCAUGAAUAUGCUUUAGAGCAAAUGAGAUUGGCUCAAUGUAUCCAUUGAUAAUUUGCUGCUGGUAAUUACUGAGAAGGCAGCUUGGCAGAGUUAUGGUAAUCAAUAAGAGGGUAACUAAUGACCCAUGGC
Molecule: long non-coding RNA, 82851 nt
Filed under: Manihot esculenta (cassava)
Lineage: Eukaryota; Viridiplantae; Streptophyta; Magnoliopsida; Malpighiales; Euphorbiaceae
Description: long non-coding RNA (MESC_LNC001733)
Source: RNAcentral